Molecule: long non-coding RNA, 53432 nt
Filed under: Eucalyptus grandis
Lineage: Eukaryota; Viridiplantae; Streptophyta; Magnoliopsida; Myrtales; Myrtaceae
Description: long non-coding RNA (EGRA_LNC002642)
Source: RNAcentral
AAUUACCUUUCAUGGAUGACAAUGUGACUAGAAUAUCCUCCCUUUGUGACUGUACCGUCCGCAUCGAUUCCAUCAAAAGUCAAAACCGCCUUUUCACAUUGGGUUUCUAGCCUGUCAUUGCAAUACUCACACUCUCUGCAUGAAUUGACAUAAGUUCCCACCCCCACAUGAUCGCCAACUUUGAAGCGUUGGACACUGGAGCCAACCUGUUUCACAAUUCCAACUAUCUCGUGCCUGAAUCAAUCAAAAAAAUCAUUUGCAAAUUUUGUUCAGAGAAUUAUGAGGAUGGUGCUAAGAAAAAAAGAUUAACAUUUGAAUCACGCUGCAUCCUACCCUGGCACCAGAGGAUACUUGGAGUGUCCUUGCACAUUCCUAGUCCAAGCCACAUCUGCAUAGCACACUCCACAGUGCGUGAUCUUAAUCGAGACGUCUUCGCUUCCCACGGCCCUAAAGAGAUGAUUCCCAAACAGGUGAGCAUAUAAUCCAGUGACUAAUCAGACUAGGGUACCUUUUUUUUUCCAUUUUCAAGAUCAACAAACUAAGCUUGACCUACGAUUAUCGAGAAAACAAGAAACCAGAAAUGAGAAAAGGAAAAAUUCCAUGACUGCAAGCAUAUUUGUCCAUACGCUAGAUACAACCUCAAAUGCUCAGAAAGGCAGCCAGUACAGGAUCCUCAUGUCUGCCAUGAAAUUCUGAGUAACCCAUUACCAACAAUUCUCGACCCAGAAUUCAGCGCAUACACAACAAAAGAAAGAACGAAAAAAUGAAAUGGUCUGGACCGAAAACUGUCUCGCGUGAACACUGUACUGAGACUCUCGCAUGAACACUUUCGGUAGAAAUCGAAAAAGAAAAAAAAAUGGCAAUACCUGCGGGUGAAUUUGUAGGGGGAGAGGAACCCAGAAGGGUCCCGGGCAGCCCAACCGAGGCAAUCCUCCUUCCCACCCUCCGAGCUCAUCUUCUGUACCUACACACCCAGCGAAGCAAUCACACAAAUGGGUACGGUUAGAUUCAUCCAAAGGAGAAGAAGAAAGGGUGAGAACUCGAACGAGAAAGUGCCCAAGAUCAGAGACUCAACGGGUCAUCACUCGGCGAGGACUCGAGUCACAACGAGCUCGCCAUCACUCACCAACUCACUCACUCACCCACACCCACCUACCCAAACACAACCCCACGGGCCACAGCAACUCAGAGAGAGAGAGAGAGAGAGAGAGAGAUGACUACGGAGAUGGAGAUGAAGAGAGGUUACGCUGUGGAGUAUGCAGGAGCGCGAAGAGGGUGACGAGCCGAGCACAGUCGAGGACGGGAGGUUCAACGAAGACUUUUUUGCCCCCUCCUACUUCGCAGGAAAGCUGCGAGUAAUCCGAUGGAUUUUAUAGCGUUGGCCCGAGAUAGUUACGAAAAUAUUGGAAGGAAAAAUUAUCCGAAACUUUAACUCAACAUGUACCGUGAUCUAUAAGGAAAAAUAUAGUAUAUAGAAAUGAAAGAUGAGUAGAAAAAGAAAUGGACGAUUGCUGUCAAAUUAAAACUAUUCCCAAGUCAACUUGUCGGUCCCUUUCCUUCCAUUAUAAUCCUUUUUUAUAAUGUAACUGAAGAUUACUGGCUUUGUCACAACCAACGUAAACCCUCCAAAAGGUAAAAGAACUUAUGCAAAAGUAUAAAAAUGAAAGAUGUGUUGAAAAAAUGAGGACAAUAACCAAACGCGUGCAACUCAAUUGCACUUUUCGAUAAGGAUAAACUGUACCUCUCCUCAUCAUUGAAAGAGAUGGGAUUAAAUGCCUCUCCUCAUCAUUGAAAGAGAUGGGAUUAAAUGCAGACGUGAUUGACAUAGAGAUUAUCACAAGAAAUUAAAUAAAAAUAAGUCUUUCUUGGUAACGAGAUGUUUGUUCUCGUGACCGUGUAGGUCUUUCUAGGUUCUCUGACGCGUGCCAUGAGGUCAUGGCAUGUUAUGCAACCAAAUAUAUCCAUUCUAUAUUUCUAUGGUAACUAUCCAUCGUUACCUCCUGUGAACCUAAGAAGAACAAAACCAAUCCAUAAAGCUGUGGAGGAUCAAGAACAACCUGCCAUAAGUUAUUGAUGAACUCAGUUAAUUGUUCGAAGCCUUAGAAGCGAAUCAUUAAAACUUUAAGCAACUAAAAUGUCAGAUGCCAAACAGAAGGAAAAUCUACAGAGCCAACAUCUGGAUCGGAUCAAUGAUGGCAUAUCAACAACUAAGGGAAAAAUCUGCUACUAAAUAUUUAUCUGAAACUAGAGGAUGACGUUGCACUUGCAUAACUCCGUUAACGCAGAUCAAUGGUCAUGCUCUGUCUAGCUUUGUUAGAAGUUUGAAAACUCUACACGGACAGGCACUAUUUGCAAGAAGACGUGUUCCCUAUGCUCAUCUUUGUACUGAGCUGGAAAUGCUUUUAGCAGAUAGCUGUGCCUCCAGAAACAAAUCGCAUGAAGUGGCCCACAAUUCUCUGGCAAGUCCGGUGUCGUACGAAACUGAAGAAGAGUUGAUAGUCCGGCCCCUCCCACCAAAGAAAUACACACCAGAAAUUUCCUAUUUUUGCAAGACAGCGGCUAUUAGUAAGCACUGUUCCAACAUAUAAUAGCAGCCACAUAAGAUUGAUACCAUAGAUUAUCAGCAGAGAAGGGAAAAUCAAUUCUGGAAACAUACUGUCAUACCGUAGAAUCAACAUUAAUGGAUUUUACGUCCAAUGUUAGUGUGACCUCAGUUGAGGAUAAAACGAGAGAGACUCAUUCAAGAUGGUUCAGAUAAGUGAAGCACCAGUACAGGAAUGCUUUACACCAGCCUAUUUAGUGGGAAAAGAUCACUAUCACCCAUAAAUGCAGCUGUGGUUGCCUAUUGAGAUGAAACCCAGGUGAUUUCAUUGCAGUCCCAUCUAGCAUAUAGCAGAAAUUAAAGAUAAUGAUUGCAGUCAGAAAAACUCACAGGAGGGGCAAGGGCUGCAUCCAGAACUGAGUUGACCGCACCUUCAGGUGAAUCCAAAAGACCCAUUGCAGUUAAAAAUGCAAAAGCUGUGUAGGACAGGUAAGGGGGAACUUCUCGCAUGAUACUGGUUUUCACUACUCCAGGAUCCACAGCACUGGAAAUAAAAAAGAAACAGGAUAACAUCUCAAUUGUGCUGCCAGCAUGUAUUCAUACACAAAACUUUAGAGAAAGACAAUCUACAAAGCCUAAGUACAUUUUCUUGUUUAUAAUCAACUAGUAUAGUAUCUCUGAUAACAAAAACCAGGUUUUCAACUAAAAAGGGAUAGCUCAUAGAUUUGUGGAAAGUGGUAAGUGGAAAGUUCAAAUUCAACUACCAUACAAACUUAAGGGUGAGAUUACACUGUCCUACAAGAAUGCUUAAAUCCAGAGUGGCAGGAUUGUUGAUACAUACAGAAUGGAAACAUGACAGGAGCUUUCCAAGCGAAGGCGUCGAUGAAGUUCAUAUGAGAACAGCAGAAGGCAUACUGUAAACAAACAGGAAACUCUUACUAAAGUUUGUGAGAAGAUGUGACAUUUGCUUCUCAAAUAUUGCUGUAUCUUUUAUUCUAUCCUUUCCUUUUUGGUGCUAGGCUUCUCGAAUAAAACAUGAAACUUACAUUUUGAAUAACCAUAGAUCUGUGCACAUGGAUACUGUUUCAUCCUGAAGGAACUCUUCCCAAUAACACUUUCCUUGUCAAAUGUCGCACCACAUACUGAAGAAGAGGAGAACCGAGGAAAAGGAGAUUUUAAAUAAAUAAAUAAAAACUAUGACUCUAAACCUAGUAUAACAAUUGCACUAAAACAGAAACUGCACAGAGAAGUUGGACAGCAAGAAACUACAAGCAAACAAUACCAACUAUUUGACAUCAUAAAAGAGUUCUGUAACUUAGACAUUGAGUACAGCUAUAUUGCAUGUUCUAGUUUUAGCUUGCUAUCUCAGGCACUGUUAAAGUCCUAGAUGGGCACCAUAUUUAGUUCACUAAUUGAAUGAAAAAAUGACAUGCCAUAAGGGUCAGCAAGCCCGGGUUUCACAGAGGAACCUCCUUGCAGGCUGGCCACCGGCUGCAAUCAGUGUUCCACAGAUAAAUGGAAGUGUUUCUGACCACAAAGUGAAAAUAUCUUACCGCUUCGAUGUGUAAAGGACGUGACAUUGACUAUCCGGGAUGGAACAGGGCUGUUUCUGAGAAGUGGUAAUAAAUGCUUUGUCAAAAAGAAUGGUCCCAUGUAGUUCGUUGCCAUCAUCCUGGUGCAUAAAGAGGUGGAGAGAAGAAUCAACAGGAGAUCAGGCAACAAUGCAUUAUGAAAGACUGCAAUUAAUAAAUUCCAUUCCAAAAAGAGAAAAGCAAAACAGUGGGAGAUGCCACUUGCUACCGUGGCAACAAAUCUCCACAAGUAAACUACAAGUUGACAAGGUAUAUAGGAAAAUCAAAAUCACUAGAACAUUAGACUUUCAAUUGGGAAAGUGACGACACUAUUAUCGUUACUUAUUUAGAAAUUAGAACAUAUGCAUCUCAUUAGUUAAAUCUAAAACAACAGAAUAUAUAUUCUCCACUGUGACUGCUGUAGUGUUUAGAUUGCCAAAUAUUUGGAUCUUUGGAAAGAAUAUUGCAAAAAAAUUCCCAUGGCAAUAAGAUAAUUACUCAUCGAAGCCUUCAGCUGUAAUUCUGUAGGAUGUUGCCAACAUUCCAGCAUUAUUUAUCAGAAGCUGGACUGAGGCAUGCAUAUUUGAUUCCAACAGCCAUUGCUCAAGGGAGCAUCUGAAGUGUAAGAUUGACUCGAUAGAUGAUAUAUCAGCUUGAAAAGCUUUAAGAUGGGCAUCCUUAUUGUGUUUACAAAUCUCUGCCACUCUCUGUGACCCAAAAAAAAAAAAAGAAUCAUUGAGAGCAUCAUGUAGAGCAAAGAAGCUAAAACGGAUGCCGCACAACAAGUACCUCUGACAACCUGUGAGCAGACCGUCCAACUGCAGAGAAAGCAUAAAUUUCAGUUAAAUAAUUGUACCUGCAUGGAUCAAAACUCAUUCUUCUUGUAACAAAGAAAAGAUGCAUUUUGCAUUAACUCUAAGGACAACAAACAGUCAUUCGUACAUUAUUUGUCACAUUAAGCAAUUGACAAGCUUUUCUCUUUGCUUGAAUCACCAAGUAAAGACCAGAGAACAUUCAUAUAUCUACCCAUAACUCUUCCUAUGAGAGUGUUCAUCACAGACUGGUGGCAUUUAUGUAGACAGCCUAUUUUUUUUUCCUCCUAAUGUAGCUAUCAUCAGGAUGAUCCAGCACAAGCAAUCACAGAAAAUCCAGGCAUGGGGUUGAACUAAGUGUUGCUACAUCCAUAUCAAAGGAAUGAGGAGGAUAAACCACAGACUGCGACAUUACCAAGGACAACAACGAAACCUUCUUUUGAAAGAGCAUAAGCAGCCGCUGCACCCAAACCAGAUGUAGCCUGCAGGCAAAAGGCAGAGAAAGCUCUCAGUAGGAUAAUCUAAUUGAGGACAUUUGCUACUAGCAAAAGAAAUCCGUCUUACGCCGGUGAUAAUGCAGAGAGGUCUCAGAGGAACUUCUAUGUUGGCAUUUCGAGGGUAUGAAACAAUUCGACCAAAAAGACCACGGCUGAAGAAUUGCCAGUAUGAGGCCAGCAAAGAGAACGUCCAAAGUACUGCCAUUAUCCAGAAGUCUACUGUACAAAUGAAACAAAAAGCCUCGACCAACUCCUUUGACAUUAUUCUCAUCUUUGCCACCAUGGACUUCUUACCUGUGUUGGCAAAGUGAAAACAACAAAACAAAUUCAGGAUACUAAUAAAUCCAACAGAAAAGUAUAUGCGCACGGUAAAGUCCUAAAGUUUAUUGGAUUAGGUAGUGGAACUCGAAUUUAAAUCAAGUGAAUGUCACAAUUAAGUACUGGAGAGACCCAAUCUACGGAGAAAACACGCACCCUUACAUGACCAGUGCAGCAAAAUGAGUGCCUUGUUAUUUGACAGUCAGAGUUGAGACCUCAGUGUUCAGUCUACAGGAAAAGUUUUAGCAACCUCGAGAGAGGUAAGAACUAGGCAGAUCUCACUAUGCAACCAUAAAUCAACUAACUUCAGGUGUACUUUCAAACAAAUUCUUUGACCAAGCAUCUGAGGGAAAUCAACAAUACAGAGUUCAACAUUCUAGUUCGUAAAUACUUUGGCCUUUUCAUUGUCAUGUAUGAAUGACGGUUUCCCUAUUGUUUAGAAUGUACAGCUUUGAAGUGUCUUAAUGCCACCUUGUCUUCCCACCACAGCAAACACAGACCCAGGUAAAGGAAUCAAAUGUUAAAUCCAGUCUUAAUAAAUUUACACAUCACAACACACAACCCAGUGAGCUUACUUCAUCGGUUAGAGUCACCAUGCUCACCCAGAGUAACAAGCACACCAUCAAAAGUAAGAUUAACAGAGAUAGCAAAUGAUAUAGCUUGUUUCAAAAUGAAAUUCUGUUCAUUUCCAAGCUCCAGACUUUCCACAUCAAAGCUUGACGUCUACUCACCCUAAACAGACGCAGCUAUAAAAUUAUCAUCUACCAGCAGAACUCGUGAAAUUCCACACAAUUCAAACGGGCCUACACGCACGUCACCGACCUAGACACGUUCCCUAUUAAACAUUAAACAAUCACCACCCCAAAUCAUCUCCAAGCUCAACGUCCUCACCAUGCAACAGCUCCAGAGCUCCAAAAAGACCCAACAAGUUUUUCGCCAACCUUCACGUCAACUCAAGCUCCCCCGCUCACUUCCUCCCUGACAAUACACACCCCCCACGAAGCGCGCUCUAAGAAGCAUUACGUCAAACACAUUGGGGACAUCGAAACUCCGGGCAGAGUUCUCCCACGAACCCAACGCAAAUGGGCAUCCACGAAAACAGGAACUUGCAGAGAGGCGAACGCGGGCGCUCGUGCAGAUCACUGUAAAGCUAUUGCAACGAAACGUGAAGGGUUGCGCCGGAAACGAAAGGGCGACUCACGGGGAACGUGAAAGGGUCGAAGGAACGAAGGAAGGCGAGAGCAGAGACGGGUCGCCUCGACUCGACACGGUUCUCGUCGAAACCAGGAGAGUCUUGAGAUUGACUGGAGGAAAAAUCCGAGCUUUACAAAAAGUUAGAUGCAGGAUGAGACGAACAUCCGGUUCUUCAACCCGAGUAAAAGCGUUGACACUAAGGGCAAACUUUUCCUUGCAUAUUAGGGAGAAUUAAGUGGGAAAUUUUCGUUUAUCGAAUUCGCCAACAUGUUUUCCAAAAAAAAAAAAAAGGAAAAAAAGAAAUCACUAACGUAAUUUCAUUCACUAUCACCCCUUUUGAAAAAUCAAAUCCAUGCAUGGGACCGAUUAAAUUUCAUUCGUCAAUCAGUACUCUUUUGUAUGAGAACUUGAAGAAAGAAUGACUCGCAAAAUACAUAAAAAAAAAUGGAACAUCACAAGAUAUGCAAAAAUUACUGUAAAAGAAUCAUAGAUUACAUGUUCUAACAAAAAGGAAUCAUUUAUUGCAUUUGUGUGAUGUAAACUAUACUGGAAUUAUUUCUUGUAAAUCUUGAGAGUGGUAGUAAUUGUGUCAACAUUUGGAAUCCUAUUAGGGAUAAAUAUAUUGAAAAUAUUAAAAUUUGUCACGAAGUUACAAUUUAACCCUAAAAUUUGACCAAAAAAAAAAUUCCAAUCAAAUUCUAAAAUUUGUUACAAAGUGUAAUUGAAUUUUUAAAACUUUUAAAAAGUACAUUCAAGUUCUAAAUUUUAUUAACAUUUUUCGUUUGUCAAAUUUGAUGGAGUUUAGGAAAAUACUUGAUUAUAUUAACUUGUCAAGUUGGCUUGGGCCAAGUUUGGCAUACCUAUAGUCCGUCGGAUCCAUGUUAAGGUCUACUAGCUUUGACCCUCCCUAGCUUUUGGGCUGGAUUGGGUCGCUGCGCCCAGCCCUUGCAGGAUCUCUCUCUCUCUCUCUCUCAACUUUCCCUAUGUGUUUUUUGGUUACUUUAACAUUUUUAUUUGUCUUUUGAAUUAAUGAUCUCACGUGGCAUGGUUCAAAUUACUGGGGUGUCAGAACCAAAACCAAAACUAAAAUCUAACCGAAAUUUCAUGCAUUUUUUAUUUGAUUUGGUUUUGGUUAGGAUAAUAGAAAGAUAACGGUUAUUUGUUUUCGAUUUGGUGAAUCGAACUGAAAUCCUUAAUACAAAUAAAUGCACAACUUAAAAUCCCUCCUUUUUCUCAUCUCUUAUUCUAUUUGAUUCCAAUGAGAAGGUAAAAAUCAAAAAACCAAAAACUGAAAACUGAAUUGAAAAUAAUCCAAUCGGAUUUUUAGUUCAGUUUGUAUUUGAUUCAGAUCGCAACUUGGUUUGCUUUAAUUACUUAUCUUAUCAGUUCGGUUUGGUUCGGACUUUAGGACAUUCGAACUAAAUCGAAACGUUGACGCCCCAUUAGCCACAUAGAUGAAGUCAUGUCUAUAAUUCAACAACGUUAAUUAUGAUGGUUGACGACAGAGUCAGCAAGAUGCAAAAGAUAUAGAAAUACAUCAAAAGAAGGAAAAAAUAGUUAGAGGACCCAAUCGCAGGAACAUCAGUACUAUAUCGAGAACAAAAAAUUGCUAUGAACUAAAUCAUACAUUAAAAGUAGGAAACAAGGAGAACUAACACGACCGUUAAUAGCAGCAUUGACAUCUAUGUCCAUGGAGAAUUUUUCUUACGCAACUACCACAGGUGGAUCCCAGCUAAUUUGCUGUCUAUCUAAUCCCGGGUGAAAACGGUCGGGCCUUGGUUCGGAGCCGUCGAGGACACACGACCAUCCUCAACGCUCCAAGCUCGUCCUCCUCCGGCGCAGUGGCUCGGCCUCAUAUCCUCUAAGCUUCACGGCUUUGUAAGUCACGGCGCCAGCUAUGGCUCCGAGCGGAGGAGCCACCAUGUACAUCCACAAUCCUUUGUAGUUCCCUGCGGCCACGGCCGGGCCGAGAGUCCUCACGGGGUUCAGGGAACCUCCGGUCGGCAUCCUGCAUUUCCCGGGAACAUUGUUAAGGAACAUUAUGAAAGCUAAAAUUCUGUAACAACGCGUCCAUACUUGCACGCCCGAAGGUGAGUAGUUUCAGUACAAUGCUUACCCUGUCACAAGAACGCCAAGCAGCACCGUUGCUCCGAUUGCAAUACCUGCCAAAUCUCCUACCUAUCAUCAGAAAAAAGGAACAAAUGUAAGUGAAAUGGAUACAUGCUGUAUACAGAUGCCACGAGUACAGAUAGAGGAAGAGUCGAUAUGCAGCAUGGCGACGUACUGCACGAGUGUCGGUCACCACCGCGACGAUCACGAACGCGAGAAUGAAAGUGGCGAGAAACUCGAGAGCAAACGCCUGUCCGAUGUCCACCGAAGGCACCGUGACGCCGCCGUUGGCAAAGGGAUGGAAAACGCCCUUGAGGACGUAGGAAGCACACAUCGAGCCCGCAACCUGCGCCGCGAUGUAGCCAGGCACCUGGAUCCAUGGAAAGUGCCAGAUCACCGCGAGGGCGACUGUCACCGACGGGUUCAGGUGGGCUCCUGAAAUGUGACCGAUCGAGAAAACUAUGAUCAUCACGGCGAGCCCAGCGCAUGCCGCGUUCCCAAGCAACGUCUCUGCUCCGUUGUACUUUUGGUUCACAAUGGGCCCGCCCACCGCGCAAAGUACUAAGAAGAAGGUUCCAACGAACUCUGCUCCGACCUGCAUCGUUCAUGUAAAUCUAAAUAAGAAAAUCUAUCCUAUCUUUCUUUCUUGGUUUCACUCGCUAUGAAAAGGCAUAAGAAUUAUCAGUUUAUGCUGCAACAGCUAGCGAGCCUGUCUAAUCUUUACUGAUCUUUGAGGUCGAUUGGGCUUUACCUUCCGCAACGAAUCAUACUUAUCCGGCUGGAGACGCCGAACACCUUCCGUUGCACCGUCACUCGGCGCACACCACUUGCACUGUACCACGGACCCGUCCUCCGGCAACGAUGAGUCCACUUGCAACGUCACAGAUGCCGGUUGGCACAUCUUCUCUUGCCUGGACAGCUCGAUGGAGAUUAAGGGAGACCAGAGGUCGCGAAUAAAGGAUCAAGAGAUCGAUGAGAAGAGAGAUCAAGACGAGAGGGAGCCUUCAGUCUGUUGCCUCCGUCUAUGAUAGUUGAUUGCAGCGACCCCAAAAGCAUUUUAUAGGAGAGAAGACAACGGCUUUAACAUCGCCAACAUCAUCUUCUUGUUCACUAGUUCGGCUUGUUGACUCGCUCCAUAGGAUUCGGUCAUUCAUAGUAGUUCGGACUGUCUGCACCUUGACUAGAUCUAGGGUUACUCUAUACAAGUAAUGAUUUGACUCGGUUUGGCAUGCUCAGAAAAACUUGGAGGGCACGUUUCUAUUUCUGAAAUUUAGGUGUGCAAGUCUACAUUUGUGGACCAGAUAUUGAAUAUUUAAGACCGAUUCUAUAAAGAGAAGAUCCAUCAAAACGUAUUUUCUUUUUUUUGUUUGGGGGGGAAGAGUUAAGGGCUGCGUUUGUUUUGAUUUCUUUUUUCUGUUUUUAAACAAUUUUUUUUGUUUUUUUGUUCCUGGGAACAAAAAAGGAACAGAAACGCGUUUGUUUGCAUUUUUAUUCCAAAAUUAUUUUUUUGUUCCCAGAAACACAUCUGGAACAAAAACAAGAAACAAAAAAAAAAGUUGUUUCUUGUUUCUGGAACAAAAUUUAGGAACACUUUCUUCUUCUCUCUUUUUUCUUCUUCUUUUCUUCUUCUUUUUUCUUUCUUUUUUCUUUGGCCGGUCGCCGGCCUCAACAAUUGAACCUUCUCAAACUGUUUCUUCUUAAGAACCAAAAAUAUUUGUGCCAAAAUAACAGAUGCCAAGAAGAACAAAAGGCCUUGGACACGGAAUGGAUCUUGAAGUACUAUUUCCGCAUCUCCUUGACCAAAUCCACCCACAUUAGGAUUACUCGUUAAUGGCUGAUCAAGUUUGAUAGAUUCGCCUUCGGAAACAAGAAGUUCUGGCCCUGGUGGAAUAAUAUCAACCACUUGACGUUCAUCUGACGCAUCCGAUAUGGUUAUUUCGUACCCCCCUUUUUCUUUUCGUAUGAUUUUACUUACUACACCAGCCGCUGUAGCAUUAUAAACUGUAUUGUUACUCUUGCUCCCAUCGGGAUAAAUCUGACCCAUUCCUCUGUUCCCGCCUACAUAUAUGGGAUAUUUUAAGAAGUGAACAUCUUUAUUAGUAGCGGGGUCCGGGGAAAGAAUAGGAAAGGUGACUUCACUAUAUUUCUGACCAGAAACAGGACCUAUCACAAGAAUAUUUUUUUUAUUGGGGCGAUAGCUCUGAAAAGACAGAUUGCCUAUCUUUUCUUUCAUCUCGGGCGAAAUACGAUCGGGAGGUGCUAAUUCAAAUCCCUCAGGUAAAAUAAGAACAGCCCCCACAUUCAAACCUCCCAUUUUACCAUUAGCAAGAACUUGUUUAACUUGCAUAUCAUAAGGAAUUCGAACAACUGCUUCAAAUACAGUAUCAGGAAGUACCGCUUGCGGAACCUCAAUAUCCACGGGCUUAUUAGCUAAAUGGCAAUUGGCACAUACAAUACGUCCGGUCGCUUCUCGUGGAUUUUCAUAACCCUGUUGUGCAAAAAUGGGAUAUGCAUUUGAAAUGGAUGUCCGAGCUAUGAUAUAUAUCAUCAGCGAUACGGAAAUAGAUCGAAUAAUCUCUUUCUUUAUCCAAGAAAAGGUGUUUUUAGUUUGCAUGGUCCAAUCAUUGAUCCCGAAAAUUUCUACAAUAAAAUUAGGUAGGUCGCUUGUAUAGUUCCCUAUCCACAAUUCUGCUAUUUACUUUAUUGAAAUCAUUUUACUGGAAUAUAAGGAGUAGGAGAAAUCCCUGUAGGGUAGAAAGAGUAAGUACGUCUUAAAAUGGAAAUGCUUUGCUUAUGUACCUUAUGUUACAAAGUAACAAAUAUUCUAGUUAGAUCAGUCAUUCAUUGAAUGAUAAAUCACUACAAGUGAUGGAGAUAUACGAUUUAAAUAGCGGAAGAUCCAAUAUUUAAAAAUUGUAUCCAGAAUGACUGGAAAAGUAGAAACAAGACCCGAUAUAAUUUGAUCGUUGUGAGCAAAUCCAAAAUCUUUGUAGACAUAGCCAAUCAUUAGUUCCCAACCAUGGGGCGAAUGGAAUCCGAUACAUAAAUCAGUUAAUAAAAGAAUAGAAAAAGCUUUUAUUGUGUCACUUAAGUUAUAUAGGAAUUCUUGAACCCAAGAGUUAAGAAUAGCAAGUUCUUCAUUACCCAGAAUAGAAUAACCACUUAAAAUAAUGAAAGAGGUUAUAUUUGUCGAUAAGUGAAAAAUCAUAUGGAUAUGAUCCUCAUUGUGCAUCUUGAUCAAUUGGAUCGUUUCUUUGUGGAUUCCUAUACGAAGUGUUUGUAGAUGUGUUUCCGGGUAUUCUUUUAUCAUUUCGUCCAAGAGUAAGAGUUCUUCCAAUUCGAUGAAUUUUUCUAGAAUACUCUUUUCUUGAAUAUCAGUCAAAAAAGUUUCGGAUUGCCUAGUAUUCCACCAAUUAGUAAUCCAAAAUUCAAGACUUUUAUUAAAUGAGAGAGAGAUCCACCAGGGCAAAAAUACUAUAGAUGUAAGAUAUAGAAGAGGAAGAAAUGCUUUCUUUUUUACCAUUUUUUCAUCUUUGAAUUGUUAAUGAAUCCACCUCAUUUGUUGAAUCUAUGUGAUCUACUAUUUCUAUUAACCCUAAGUUCUAUUACAGGGCAUCGGGCCUCGGCCAUGGCCGGCGACCGGCAGUCGAGGGCCGGUGAGGCCGAGCGUCGCCGGCCCUUGGUGAGGCCGACCUCGCGCCGAGCUAGGCGAGCUCGGCCUCGCCGGGCCACUGCCAGGUCGGCAUCGCCUGGCAGUGGCCCGGCGACGCCGAGCCUCGCCAGCCACUGAUUGUCACUUGCUUUUAGUCAUGCAUUCAAAACUGUAAGAUUCAUGCACUAUAAGAUAACCAGACAAGCGAAAAAAUGAUGUGCAUUUCAGUUGAGGUGGCAAGACCAAUUAGAUUGAAUUCAAACCAAAUAAAGCUUGACGCAUAAAAGAGAAAUGUUGUGCAUUGAGCGAAUAUAUGACAAAAUAAGUGCAAAGAGAGUCAUUGAUGUUCUAGCACUUUGGCCAAUUGAGUUCUUAAAAUUUUACUUUGCUUAAUUGAAUCCUUAGCAUUUUCAAUUUUAAUCAAUUGAGUCCCUCAAGCUUGAUCCUCGGAAAUAGCCACAUGGCUAUGAUUUUCCAAGUUGAUAAGAAGAUGCUCGACAAUAAAACCAGGUGAGCCUCUCAAGGGCUUCAUUGGCAUAAUCAUCAGUAUCACUUCGAUUUUUGGGUAUACGUGCUACACCGCACAGAGGUCUAUCAUUUCUUGGAUAUACUUCAUACCUCCCGUAGUGCUACCCGAAACGGUUUUCAUACCUGCAAAAAGUUCAUUGUGAGCAACUUACUUUCUUCACCUAUCAGGUAUCAAUAUUUCAUUCAGUAAUGAGCUUUGAGAACAAAAACAUACCGAGGUUAAGGCUUGCUGCAUUGAAUUUAAUUUCGCUUUGGGACCCAACCGAUGCUAGAACGCCACCCGUCUUCAAAAGAGACAUGUAAGGAUCAAAUGGGUGAUCAGCAGAUACCGUGUCAAUUAUAAAGUCCAGGGACUUAGCCAUGGCUUGCAUGUUACGAUUCAUCAGAUCACGGCAGCACUUGACAUCCAUGGAUCUAAAGUAUUAAUAAUUCAAAAUCUUCCCGUUUACCUUCAUAUGUUCUUGGUCAGAUGAGAUAACGAAAUGGUCAGCACCAAGCAAGCUCAGUGCUUCCUCCUUUUUAGAAAUGCUUGUACUGAACACGGCAACUUUCAGUCCAAAAGCCUUCCCAAGCUUAAUUGCCAUCUGACCGAGCCCACCAAGUCCAAUUACGUCGAAAGACUUACCCGGUUGGUUCAUCUUGUGACGCACCAUUUGAAUGUAUACUGUGAUUCCAUCACAGGGCAAUGGUGCUGCUAAAGCCAACGGGUAGUUUUCUGGAAUCCUAAGGCAAUACCUGUCAAUGAAGCACCACAAUUAAGUUUCCAAAUCAUGUAAUUUUUCUAUUCCCCUCGAUCAUGUCUCUAAGGGACACGAUAUUCCUGUGACUGUUGGAUACAAGAAUCCGUGAAAGCAUAUACAUUUCAUUACCCAUUUGAUCUAACACUUACUAUCUAACUCUUGGGAACAAUCUAAAAAAAGGGAGGAAGCGGAGACAAAAGGCAAGGAUUGAGCAAUUUCCAUCUCUCUCUCUCUCUCUCUCUCUCUCUCUUUUAAUUAAGGGUUAAUAUCCUAAAAAAUCCCAAAUUGGUACACAUGUAACAAAUUUACCUUGACAGACUAUAAAAAACUCUAAACUUAUAUAUUUAUGACAAAUUUACCCCAAACUAAUUUAUUUGACCGCAAAAAAUCUCAAAAUGGUAAAUUUGUAACAAAUAUACCCUUCACUAAAUUGGAUUAAUACCACAAAAAGAUCACAAAAAUUGUAAACCGUGACAAACGGAGCAUGAAAUCUCAAAUUGGUAUUACUAAUCAACUGUCACGUGCCAUUUAACUUAAUAAUUUGACAGUAAAAUUUAAUGAAAACUAAUAGAGGGUAAAUUUGUCACAAGUGUACUAGUUUAGAGUAUAUUUGUCAAAAGUAUACCAGUUUGGAGUUUUUAGUGGUCAAAAAACUAGUUUAGAGUAAAUUUAUCAUAGGUGUACCAGUUUUGAGUUUUUUAGGGUAUUAACCCUUUAAUUAAUUUAGUUUUAAAUUUAAUGUUAUUAAUGUUUCAUGAAAAUUCAUAUGUUAGAUUUAUUGGCUCACAUGUCAUUGUCACUUGAUGUGUAUGAUAUAUAGAAUAGUCCAAGAGUUUUGACUUUAGAUGCUUGGGAACUCGCGAAUGGUCAUACAUUGUCGGUUACACAUUCAAUAUGAUGUAUUAGCUAAUCAUAGUCCUCUAACGGUUUAUAUUUGCUUAAUAUAUUUCAAGAAUAUUCAUUUGUUAGACUUGUCCGCUCACACGCCACUGUCACUCGAUGUAUAUGAUAUGCAGAAUAGUCUAAGAGCUUUGACUUUAGACACUUGGGAGUGUCUAUGCUUGUUUUAUGUCUGUUAUGCUUGCAAUGCUUCUGGUUUUGAGUGGACAGUACAAAUAUUUAAGUCCAUGUCAAUUUGAACAAUUUUCUUUAUUAUAGAGCAACCGUCUUUAAUCUAUUGUGUUCUUGACCACAAAAAACCAAAUAACAAAUAAGUAUUAAUUAUUGUAGGGUCCAACAACAAUCUUUAAUCUAUUGUGUUCUUGACCACAAAAAACCAAUUAACAAAUAAGUAUAAAUUAUUGUAGGGUCCAACAGCAAUCUUUAAUCUAUUGUAUUCUUGACAACAAAAAACUAAAUAAUAAAUAAGUAUACAUUAUUAUAUGGCCCACUCCUUUAAAAAUUUGUUGCUCACAACAACUUAUUUAUUCUCAUAAUAACCCAAAGUUAUGCUAGCAAAGCUCUUUUGAGUAAGUGUAUUGAAAGUUUUAAAAACUUGUCACUAAAGUGCAUUAAGUCCUGAAACUUUCAAAAAAUACAAUUUAAUCCUAAAAUUUGUCACGAAAUGCAAUUGAGUCUUAAAAUUUUCAAAAAGUAAAAUCAAUUAUAAAGAUUUAUCAAUAUUAUAAGGGACAAAACCAAAAGCUGCAUGCAAUAAAUCAGACAAAAUUCAUUAAUUUAUGACCAUCAAGCAAGCGUCAGACAUUAGCAAAUGAAUGUAUUAGCAAUCGAAAAUACAUCGAAAACAAAAAGUUAAAAGCUCAUAUCUACCUUUCAUUCUUAUGCUUUGUAAGCCCCUCUGACCUUAGUGACCGCAAGGAUUUUACUGUGGACUCAAUGAGAUCCAUCUCAAGCUCCACCCUUUCAUGUGUCCAGCACUGAAGCAAAAGGAAAAUCGCAAUAAUGCGAUGAGGAUGAAACUAACCCAUUGAAUUUCUGAGUAAUCCAUCAAGUACAAGUUACCCAUCAUUCGGCCACUAAGCUCCUCCACUAUGGCCCUCAAUUGCUGGAUGCUUACUACGAGCGCUUCAUCCCUUCGUAUGAAGUCAACAUUUCUUUGAUUCACACUUUCUUUGCAUGACAUAUUUUAAACCUACAAGUAAACGUUAGUCACAAAAAUCCUCACCAAUUGCUCCCUCACGUGUUUCUCUCAAUGUGUUUGUCACUCCCCUCGUGUUUAACUCAAAUUUAGGCUUUUUCCCUCUCGUAUUCUCUUUUCACAAGUUCUUUAUUGGACUCAAAAUCAGUCUCUCAGCCCCCUCACGACAAUCAAUCAAAAUAAUCAAACAAGAUUAGAUUACUAUUAAUUUUGUUUCAGCAAGUAACAAUUUCAAACCAACAAGUAUAACUUUCGAAAUUCUAAUUGAAACGCAAAUCACUACUGAUUUUGUUUCAAUUCGGUCCACAGUCGCCUUCUUGAUUUUUUUUUGUUCAGCUUUUUUUUUCUGCUGAAUCUUUUUUUUUUCUCUAGCGCACUUUUUUUUUGUGUGCGUUUUCUUUCUCUUCUUUUUUUUUUUUUACGAACUUUCUUUGUUUUUUUUUCUUUCUUUUUUGACAAACUCAGAUACAAUUUAAGAUGAUAGGAAAAAAAAUAUUAAAACUAACAGCAAACAAUUACGUAUGGAAGCACAAAAGUAAUCAGAUCCCUAAAUUGGCUAGAACCGAAACCCUAACUCAAUAAAUCUCAAAUUGCUGAAUAUAAACAGAAAAUUAAAGAUAAAUAGACAUUGUAGAAGUAAGCUCUGAUACCAAAUGAUGUCAAUCGUUGUGGAAAAAUCAUUCUACGAAGGCCUGGAUGGUGCGAAUUGCAAACCUCGACCUCCAAUCAAACCUGUGAUUGAUAACCUCGAUAUGAACGUGAUCAAACCUACGAUUGAGAACCUCGGUAUGAACGUGACCUAUUGACAAACGCAUGUCAACCAACCAAACCCACGAGCGAAAGAAUAAGGUUAAGUUCUCAAAAAAUAGUAGAAAAGAAUCUCUCAACUUUUUUCAUCCAUAUAUAUAUAUAUAUAUAUAUAUAUAUAUAUAUAUUGACUUGGUCAAAUAUUUGAUGAUCAGAUAAUCAAAUUGUGCAAAGAUUUCUAAGAUUCUUCAAGAUUUAAUCCAAAGCCAUCUCUACGCCGAAGAUCAUGAACCAUGACGCUAACAGCUUACUUGAAUUGCUUGGCUCGUGCUCGAGUAAUUGAACCAGUAGGAAUAGACAAUGGGUCUCUAGCACCACCUCAUCGAUAUGGCUUGAUGUCCACAUCAUAAUGCAUGCGAAGGAACAAGCCGAUUGCCACUUGAUGUUAGUCAUUCAUGCAAAACUGUAAGAUUCAUACGCUAUAAUAUAGCCAAACAAGCAACCAAAAAAAAAAAAUAAAAAAUAAAAAACUAAAAAAAUGAUCUGCGUUGCACUUGAGGUGGCAAGGGCAAUUAGAUUGUAUUGAAACUAAAUGAAGUCCGUUGCAUUAAAAAGACAAUCAAAUGAUGCAUUGAUCAAACCUUCUCUUCCUUCUUCUUUUUCCUCUCCAGGUCUUCCACGCCUUCCGACUUGUUAUCCGGUUGAGACUGCACGACCCACAUCGACUCAUCAAUCUGAUCAUUACAAUCAUAGACUUGCCAUUUCCACAGCUAACCCAAUAACUCAAGCUACAAUCAGACGAGCUUCCACCCAAGAAAACAUACCAUUUCGAUGGUUGGUAAGCGUGAGACUGCAACCAAAGUUCGAUUCCGACAAGAGAAAGCACCGGGACAGAUGGUUGAGCUCCGUUUAGAAGUAGACCCAACAGCCGCCGGCGAACAAGGGUGGCGACCGUGACUUCAAAGAGACGACUUGACGGCGACCGAGCUCGGCGGAGGCGAGGGCGGCGGGACUUGUCAGCAGGGAUUUUUCUGACAGUGUCAGACUGGCACGACUCUGACGUUUUUUUAAUUAACUAAAGAAAGAAAUUCGUAAUACGACGUGGGCAGCCCGCAGGAGGGCGAAAUAAGAGUUUCCUGUUCUUAUUUUAUUUUAUUUUUAGCCUUUUCUGCUUAUUAGCAAAUAAAAUUUAUUAAUUUGACACGAACAUAUAGUGGUGUAUUUCCUACUAGUAAUAUAAAUUUAUAGAUUUUAAGGGAAGACUUGGAUCGUAAUUGUCAUUGGAGAGGAAGUGAAUGAUGAUAUAACAUGAGUUAAUAGACGUAAGUGAAAAAUGUCACAAAAGAAAUCGUGUUCCGAUAUUAAUUUUGUCAAUAUAUUGAAAAGGCAACAGGUUUCGUAUUCUUCUGGACAGAAAUGAAAGGUCAAAGGGAAACGAGAAGGACUGAGCAAAUAAAUGACAAAAUAUGAGCAAUGGAAGUCAUUGAUCGUUUGCCGUUUGACUGAUUGGAUUCUAAAUAUUUUAUUUUCAAUUGGGGUCUAAAUAUUUAUUUGGUCCAAUUGACUUCUAAACAUUUCCAAUUUUAGUCAAUCACGUCCCUCGAAUAUUAUUGUCGGAAAGAGCCACAUGGCUGUGAUUUUCCAAGUGGCCAAGGAGAUGCUUGAGGAGAAAACCUGUAGGAGAGGCGAAGCCAUUCAAGCAGAACUCUCAAGAAGCCAAUUUUUCAGACAGUUUCUCAAUCAUCACAUAGAAAAGUACCAGGAUUUCAUUACCCAUUUCACUUAUUUCUGCUAUAAAACUUACGGGUAUCGAAGUAUAUCAGGCAUAGUUUAUUUGUACUCCAGCAGAGAUAGUAAAAAGGCACAGAUGAUGCUCUCCUCUAGCUGAAACUCCCACUUUUCCUCUCUGUGUGAUCAGCUUUGCCAGCAACAAUUUCCAACUUCCCAAAUUGAUGUUCAAAUUUAAUCAAAUAGACUCAGAGAAGAAAACACACGAGAAUUGUUGCUAUAACUCUUGUUACUUUAUUCAUCAAAACAUCCAAAUCACUUAGCAAGAAAAUAGCUAUAGAACAACAACAACAACAAAGACCCACUGACAUACCCCACCGACCAAACAUGUGGAGAAACUAACUCCUACAAAAAAGCCACUUCCUAUUGACUAGGACUCCACUAUUACAUUAUUGAAGACACGUAAAAACUGUAAGUUAACUACUUCAACAAUUGAUGGUGUCACUUCAAGGAGUUCUCAAUGUCGAUCACGAAUCGAUACUUAACAUCUCUCUUGAUGAGCCUCUCCAGAGCUUCAUUGGCAUAAUCAAUCGGUAUCACUUCAAUAUUUGGGUAUAUCUUCUGCGCUGCACAUAGGUCUAUCAUUUCUUGGGUAUCCUUUGUUCCUCCCGUUAGGCUACCUGAAACAGUUCUCAUAUCUGCCAAACGUUCACCACGAGCAACUUAGUUCACCUAUCAGGUAUGAAAUUUCAUUUAGUAAUCAGAUUUGAGAACAAAAACAUACGGUGGUUAAGGCUGGCUGGACUAAAUUUAACUUCGCUCGAGCCGACCAAUGCUAGAAUGCCACCCGUCUUCAAAACAGACAUGUAAGGAUCAAAUGGGUGAUUGCCGGCUGCCGUGUCGAUUAUAAAGUCUAGGGACUUAGCAAUGGCCUGCGUGCAUUGGAUUUAUCAGAUCACAACAGAAUUUGACCACCAUGGAUCUCAAUGUGGAUAAUUCUAGUUUUUCCUUUUUUUACCUUCAUCUGCUCUACGUCAGAUGAGAUAACGAAAUGGUCAGCCCCAAGCAGGCUCAGUGCUUCCUCCUUUUUAGAAAUGCUUGUACUGAACACUGUGACUUUUAGUCCAAAAGCCUUCCCAAACUUAACUGCCAUAUGACCGAGCCCGCCAAGUCCAAUUACACCUAGAGACUUACCGGGUUGGUUCAUCUUGUGACGUAUCAUUGGAGUGUACACCGUGAUUCCAGCACAGAGCAGUGGCGCUGCUAGAUCCAUCGGGUAGUUUUCUGGAAUCCUGAAGCAAUACCUGUCAAUGAAGCACCACAAUUAAGUUUCCAAAUAACACCAAGAGAGGAAGUGAUUUCCCAAUAGAAUCAGCAUCCUGUCUUUUUUGUCUAAAAGGAAUCAAAUCACAGAGCCAGAAAUCCUAUCUUCCGCAUGCUUGGGAAUGUUACUUGCUUAGACCACAAUUCAGCAUCAUGUUGUUUCCGUGAUCCUUGUUCUGACCACAAAUUGCUCAAGACAAACAUUUCUUGCUGUAGCAACGAAAAUAACUCGAUUAAAAUUAAGAAAAGACACUUGCUCUAAGAAAGGAAACUGGUGGCAUAUCACAUAUGCUUGACUGAACACGUAAUUUCUCUAUUUCUUUCAAUCAAUUCCUCCGAAGGACUCAAGAUUCCUGUGGCUCUAUCAGAUACAAGAAUUAGUGAAAGCACAUACAUUUAGCUACCCAUUUGAUCUUAUACUUAUGAUCUAACUUUAACAAUCUAAGGACAGCUUAUUCCAUUCUUGACAAUGGUUAUUGAAAAGAAAGAAUUUCUUUUUGCAUUUAAUAAAGCCAAUUCUCCAUUGAAUGGUCUGAAUGGUAAUUGGAUACAGAGGACUUAAAGACCCUCCAGAGCCGUUAUAGAAAGUAUCUUUAUCCUUUUCCACAAGAUGCAUUAUGCUACUUCUGGUCACAAUCAGAAUACGAAGAAAAUUAGCAGAGAAGAAGACAUGACAUGAAAUCUUUUUUUGGCCACCAUGAUUUGAAAUUCUUUCACAGUGCAAAAUGCUGCCUAAUAACAUUGUGUUAAUAAGCAAUUACCUUUCAUGGACGACAAUGUGACUAGAAUAUCCUCCCUUUGUCACUGUACCGUCCGUAUCGAUUCGGUCAAAAGUCAAAACCAUCUUUUCACAAUGGACUUCUAGCCCGUCAUUGCAAUACUCGCACUCUCUGCAUGAAUUGACAUAAGUUCCCACACCCACAUGAUCGCCAACUUUGAAGCGUUGGACACUGGAGCCAACCUGUUUCACAAUUCCAACUAUCUCGUGCCUGAAUCAAUCAAAAAAGUCAUUCGCAAAUUUUGUUCAGAGAAUUAUUAGGAUGGUGCUAAGAAAAAAGAUUAACAUUCGAAUCACGCUGCAUCCUACCCUGGCACCAGAGGAUACUUGGAGGUUCCCGACAUAUUCCUAGUCCAAGCCACAUCUGCAUAGCACACUCCGCAGUGCGUGAUCCUAAUCGAGACGUCAUCGCUUCCCACGGUCCUAAAGAGAGAAUUCCCAAACAGAUGAGCAUCUAAUCAAGCAACUAAUCAGACUCAGUUACCUUUUGUUCUCAUUUUUCAGAUCAAUAAACUAAGCGUGACUUACAAUAAUCAUACAUUCAACCCAAAAAAAAAUUUAAGAAAAGAGAAAUGAAAAGGAACCAAAUCCAUGACUAUAGGCAUUUGUCUGAAUAGUACAUACAACCUCAAAUGCUCACAAAGGCAGCACCCGAAUCCUAAUGUCUGCCAUGAAGUUCUAAGCAACUCAUUCUGGGACAUGACAUAUCAUGCGUACAAACAAUUCUCUACCCAGAAAUUAGUGCAUACACAACAAAAUUUAUAAAAGAAAAACGAAAUGGUUUGGUCAAUGUGGAAAUUUAAAUAUAUGACAAGCAUCAAAAACUGUUUUGCAUUACAGGUGAGAGGAUAAGACCUGAGAACACUGUAUUGAGACUUAUUCAGACAAAUACUUCAAUAGAAAUUGAAAGUAUAAGGAGCAGAUGAAUUAAAUAAAGAACAGUGGUAACAGUAAUACCUGCGGCUGAAUUUGUAGGGGGAGAGACGUCCAGAAGGAUCUCUGGCAGCCCAACCAAGACAAUCUUCCUUCGCACCCUCUGAACUCAUCGUUCCUCACCGACCUCAACUGAAAUCGACCCACAAAAAAAUUGCUGUGUUAAUCUCUCAAUAAGCUGAAUUAUGGAAGAAGAAGAAGAAUUAUUUUCGUGAAAGAGAAAUGAAGAGAAAAUCAAACCGGAAAACAGAAGUUCAAAUGGUCAAAAGGCCAAAUGUCACGAAGACUUGGCAAUUCCGUUUCCGUGCAGACAAGAUUUUGCGGUCUGACUUUUGAGCAAAGAGCGAGAUUAGCAGAGAGCGAGGUUGAGCGCUCAAAAACCGUCACCUCUUUAUAGAUGCCAUAGCGUCGCCUGUUCUUGAUUUUUUUUUUCGUUUUAUCUUGUGGAAAAGAAUUAGUGCCAAACGUAAGCCAUUACCCUUCACUAGCCAAUGAAGUAUGCAGUGACGUCUUCUGGAGUACGGUUCUUGGUAUUUUUAUUUAUCCUCCCAAUAACAAUUGCAUUAUUAAUUUAUUCACACAUUAAAUAUGUCAAUAGGCAACAUGUUGACGCAUAAAAUAUGUCAUGAUCCUCUAGUGGUAUGUAUUCGAUUCAUCUAUUUUAAGAAUAUUCACCUUCAUCUAUUUUAAGAAUAUUCACCUUCUUCAAAGAUAGUGUUAGUAUAUGCGGAAACAUGUGUUUGAUAUGUAUGCAAGCAAAAGAACUAAGGGACAAUGUGAGCAAGAAAUAGUGGGACAAAGUAAUAAUAGGAAUGUGUAAAAGAGAAUGAGGCUGAGGCGGUGAAGGAGAGAAACUUGAAUGGAAGUCAACAAUAGUGGCUGAAGAAGAAACUAGUAUGUGGACAGCAAGAGUACUUGGAGAAGAAGAAAAUGAGUUGUCAGCUGUACUAUGGCCUAUGGCGGUGAAAAAGUCAAAAAUGUCAUGCUUGAAGUCGGUUGUAAUUGCCUAUAAAUAGGCUUGUCGUUCAUUUAUUUGGUGUGUGUGAGGUGAACCCUUCACCUUGUGUGGGGGUGAACCCUCCACUGUGAGAGGUCUUAAACCUCCGCUAGGACCAUAUGGAGAGUGACUAUUCAACACCUCCAUCAAAUUAUUUUGUCUUCUUCAAUAAGUUCUUGACAGCUGGAGUUUGAUGAAGAAACUUUGCUUCAUGCUUUCCGCUACUUGCUAUUUCCGAUGCACGUAGACUUCUCUAGCCUAUUCUAGGAUUUCUUCUUCAACUUGGGGUUUGCUUGCUUGUAUUCCCAUGUGAAUCUUCUAGGUUCAGCUAGCAACCACCAUUCUCAACAAUUCUAGACAAUCUUCAACAUGGAUGUUGCUACCAACGUUCUCGCCUUCAUGAUUAAGUUAAUAGUUUCUAAACAGUUUUAGAGAAAAUGGAUCAUAAUUUUCAACAUAUAGUAUUUUGGAGAGAAAAGUAUUUCAGCAGAAUUGUUCAAGGAUUUACAGAUCACUACAAUAUCACCGGAAGCAAAUAAUUAUCCAUCAUUGACAUGAACGAUAUAGCAAAAAUUCUUUUACUUGUUUACCUUAAGUUUAGCAAGAUCUGCUUAAACGACAACCUUGAGUAUCUUCAAUUCCCUUUCUCUUGCCUUCAAAAAGAUAUUGAAAUGCAACGCAGAAUCAAGACAGAUUGUCAUUAACAAAGCUGUAAAAGCCUACUCAAUCUGGCAAAAUUGGGGACAGUGUUUUCCAGCGAUCUUGACUACCUCGGUAGCUGCUGUGCAAAUGGAUAGGAAUGCAUGCAGAGGGACAAGCUGAUUGUUACCUACUUUUAGUCAUUCAUUUGAAACUGUAAGAUUCAUGUGCCAUAAGAUAGCCAAACAAGCGGGCAAAAAAUGAUGUGCCUUGCACCGAAGGUGGCAAGAGCAAUUAGAUUAAAUUCAAACCAAAAAAAGCUUGAUGCAUAAAAUGAAAAGUCAUCCAUUGAGCAAAAAAGGGUGCGUUUGGUAAGGUUUCUGUUUAAAAAUUGUUUCUGGGAACAUAAAUAAAAAAAAGUGUUUCUGUUCCAAGGAACAAGUUUUGAACAAAAAAACGCAUUUGGUAAAUCUGUUCUAGAAAUAUAAAAAAAAUAGAAACACGUUUGGUAAGUUUGUAUAUUUUUUUUUAUUUCUUUUAAUUUUUAAUAUUUUUAUUUUUAUUUUCUAUUUUCUUUCUUAUUUUUCUUAUUUAUUUUUCCUUUUUUUCUUAUUUAUUUUUCCUUUUUCCUUUUUUCUUCUUUUGGCCGGUCGCCGGCCUCGGCCAUGGCCGACGACCAGCCGACAAGGGCCGGCGGCCUCACCCAGCCAUGGCGAGGCUCGCCGGCCGCUGGGCGAGCUCGGCCUCGCUAGAUCUGGGCGAGAUCGAGCUCGCCCAGCCAGGCGCGAGGUCGGCCUCGCCGCGCUGUGCCGACGGUGACCCAGAGCCACACCAUCGUCUCCCUCCACCGCAUCGGUGACCGCGCUCGACGCCUCCUCGCCGCCACCGGAUCGGCGACCACCCCUCCGCCUCACGCCCGAUUGACGCAUCUGCAGGUCUCGAGCCUUCGUUCACCACCGCCACAUCAGAUCUCACCACGCCGUGACCCACGGCUUCGAGAUCCGCUCGAUCGUCGACCCCGCGCCGGCCCACGACUCGACCGGCCGUCCUCGCCGCUCCGCUCCUAGACGUCCGCCGCUCGAGACCCCACGGCCGAGCCCCGCACCGCAGCCGCCGCCGCCGCCCAGCGACCCGCGACCCAGCUCCGUCACCCGCUCACAGGUGGAGAUGCUCGCAGCGGCUGUCGGCGCCGGAGAGGACGACGGUGGAGAAGCCGGAUGGUCUCGAGACAGAGGCGGCUGUCGGCGCCGGAGAAGACGACGGUGGAGACACUUGCAGAAGGAGAGGCUCGCAGGAGAACACGAUUUUGUUUCUUUUUUGUUCUUCAAAUAUGUUUCAGAAAUAAGAAAUAAGAAAUUCUUGUUUCUUAUUUUUGUUUGUUUCUUAUUUUUGUUCCCUUUUUGUUUCUAGGAACAAAAAAACAAAAAAGAAACAGAAAUGCACCCAAACGCGUUUCUGUUCCUUUUUUGUUCCCAGAAACAAAAAAAUAGAAAUUUUUGUUCGUGGGAACAGAAACACGGUGCAAACAAACGCGCCCUAAAUGACAAAGUAAGUGCAAUGAGAGUCAUUGAUGUUCACGCCAAACGUAUGCCAUGACCAUUCCUUAGCCGAGAGAAUGUAAGCAGCGACAUCUUCUAGAUAGUGGUUACUGGCAAUUUUUUUUUUUUUUAUCCCCGGCCUGAUCAAAUUAUCCGAGUUAUAAACUCAGAAAGAAGUUAAUGAGCAAUCUACCGCUAGGACCUAUGAAGGGUCAUAUGUUGUUGGUUACACAUCGUGUUGGAAUAUAAUAUACGGAAAUGAAAAGAUCUUGCAAUUUACGUCAACGUGCAAACUCCAGAAAAAUAAAUGAGAAAUAAUAAGAACACCAUAACUUUACGUGAUUCGGUCCGAGUAUUAGUACCUACAUUCACGGGAGAGUUAGCAACAAAUAACCCACUAUAAUAAAAAAAUCAGAGUUUACAAUCGCUCACAUGCUUGAGUAUUUUCUACACCUAGAUUUCAACUCAAGAGUUUAUAAAUAAACAACUCAUUUUAACAUAAAUUCACGACAUAAAAUUACCACUCGUUCAAAAACAAAAUGCUCUACGUACGCCAAAAACAAGAAUUCCAGCAUUUAUCUUUUGGUUCGCGUAGAUACGGAUUUGUGUUCUUCUUUGCUUGAUCGUGCGGCGCUAUUCUAGACGUUCCUUUUGGCUCUUUCUUCUUCGUAGGGCUUCAGUAACUUUUUCUAUAAAAAAAAAAAAGGACGUUCUAUUUUAUAUAUGUGCCUAGAGUCAACAACUUUGACUCUGGGCCCACCAUGUGCUUCUUUCUUCAGUGGGAAGUGGGACGCUGCAGGUAAGGCGAAGAAACCUUCCUUUUAUUCAUUUUUCUUCAUAUUUCCUUUAUUUUAUGGGAUAUGUUUGGCAGAAGUCCUAAAACUUGUCCAGAAAGUGCAAUUGAGUCCUAAAACUUACAAAAAGUUCAAUCAAGUCCUAAAACUUGUCAAAUUGGUUCAAUUGAGUCCUAAAGUUAACACCGUUAAGAAAAUUAACAGAAAUUGCUGACGUGGCGCUGACGUCAUAUUUUAAAUGAUCUUUUUUAUUUUUCAAAUAGCUUUUUUAAAUUAUUUUUAUUCAAAAUCUUUAAAAAUUAGAUUAAAAACUAAAAAGGAAAAUCUAAAUUUAUUAAAAAAACAAAAUUGUUCAAAAAAAAAAAAAGAAAAAAGGGCGGUGGACUUUCGCCGCUGCCCAUCGCCGAAGGGGCCGGCGAUCGUCGCCGGCCCUGGGCGGGGGCGAUGGUCGCCAUCCCUUGCCUGGGGCCGAGCAACCGUCGCCCGCCUUGGGCGAGGCCUCGUCGGCCCUCGCUUGGGGUCGGCGAGGCUCGCUAGAUCUGGGCGAGCCUCGCCCUCGCCAGCCACCCCUGCCCAGGGCCGACAACUGUCGCUCGGCCCCUUCGGCGAUGGGCGGCGGCGGCGGCGGCGGCGGCAGCGGCGGCGGGGAGAAGAGGGCUGCUUUUUUUUAAAACAAUUUUAAAAAUAACUUUUAUAACUUUUCUUUUUAAUUUUUAGAUAAAAUGAAUAAAUUUAAUUUUUUAGUUUUAAUUCUUUUUUUAAAAAUGAAUAAAAAUCAUUAAAAAAAUCCACGUGGAAAAUAAAAAAUAAUUAAAAAUGAUACGUCAGCAUUUUUAACAGAAAAAGCUAACGGUGUUAACUUUAGGACUUAAUUGAACUAACUUGACAAGUUUUAGGACUUGAUUGAACUUUUUGUAAUUUUAGGACUCAAUUGCACUUUUUGGACAAGUUUUAGGACUUCUGCUGAACAUAUCCCUUAUUUUAUAUAUGUUGUGUGCCUAAAGUCAAGACUUUUGACUUUGGGCCCACAUAAAUAACCUUGUUUGGCUCCCGUAGAUAAAGAAGAAACUUUGUUCUUUUUAUUAUUAUUAUAUUUUCUUUCCUCUUUCGUAAACCUUCACAAAGUCCAACAAAGCUUCUUCUAUUGAUCGAAACAAUCAAAGACCCAAAAAGAAUUUCGAAUUUAUUUUCUUGUGCAUAAUCUUGAAUAUUAUCUUUAUCAGAAAAAUAUCUUCACGAUCAAAUAAUAAAAUUUUUAUCCAAGCGGAUCGCAUUUUGCAAAUACUCAAACUCGAGACAUAAUUUAACACAUCCGACAUGAUAUACUGCCCAAUUACUAUCCUCUGACAAUUUAUAUUUGAUUAAUCUAAUUCAAGAAUAUUCAUUUGUUAGACUUGUUGGCUUACACGCCACUGUCACGUGAUAUAUCCUAUAUUGAGAAUACUCAAUGAGCUUUGACUCUAGAUACUUGGGAGCAUCUAUGCUUGUUUUAUGUAUGUUAUGCUUGUGAUGCAUCUUGUUUUGAGUGGACUGUAGAAAUAUUUAAGUUCGUGCCAAUUUGACUAAUUUUUUAUCUGGAUAAGUGCAUUGGAAGAUUUAAAACUUAUCAUAAAAAUACAAUUAAGCCAUGAAACUUUGAAAUCAAGUUCUAGAACUUGUCACAUUGGUCUAAUCUAAAUCCUACCAUUGCAUUUUUGAAAAUUUCGGUACUUAACUGCAAUUUUCUAACAAGUUUUAGUAUUUCCAAUAUACUUUUUUUUUUUCAACCUCAGUAAUGUUUUUAAGCAACAAUGAGCUUGACAUAUCUCUGUUUUCGGAAUUUCAGUGGCUAUAGGAAACAAAAGGACGUCCUCUAAUGAAUCAACAAUCUUCUGCCAUGACAAAGCUGGAAGAGAGAUGAGUGUCUUCCAUAGUUAUAAAAAAUGUUCAUGCAAUAAUCUGUAGGAAUUCGUCUUCCUGACGUGCAUGAACAUUUCCGGCCAUGAAACAUUUCACGGUGAAGACAUUCUGUCACUUAAACCGGCAAAAGGAUAUCGAGCUUGUUCUUUUGGCGAGUGUAUUGCCGUCAAAUAUGCCUGAUUAAUUCCACGACUAUUAGCAUUUGUUUAAAUAGAGCAUACAACCUAAAAUGCUCACAAAGGUAGCUGGUACUGGAUCCUCAUGUCUGCCCAUGAAAUUCUGAGUGCCUCAGACAUGGCAUAUCAGGCACACAAACAAUUCUCAACCCAGAAAUUAGUACGUACACAACAAAAGUUUAAAAAAAAAAAAAUUGGUUUGGUUAAUGUGGAAAUUUAACAUCAUGACAAGCAUAAAAAACUGUUCAGCAGUACAGUAGAGAGGUCAAGACCUGAGAACACUGUAUUGAGACUUAUUCAGAUGAACACUUCAGAUAGUCACUGAAAAGCUAAGGAGCAGAUGAAUUGAAUAAAGAACAAUGGCGAUGAUAAUACCUGCGGCUGAAUUUGUAGGGGGAGAGAAGUCCUAGAAACCGUCAUAGAUGCCAUAGCGAUGGAUGUUCACGAUUAAUCUUUGAGCUUACUAUUGUGGAAAAGUAUUAGUGAUUCGCCAAACGUAACCCAUGACCCUUCCUUAACCAAAGAACGCAUGCAAUGACAUCUUCUGGAGAGCGGCUCCUGGAAUUUUUCCAUCCACAACCUAAUUGCAUUAUCAACCUACUGACACAUAAAAGAUGUCAAUAGGCAAUGUGCUGUUGCACCACUGGACCCGCAAAUGGUCAUCAAUGUCGGUUAUACCGCCAAUAAUUUGUACCUGACCCUUCAUAGUCGUAUUAUUCGAUUAAUCUAUUUAAAGAACAUUCAUUUUCUUCAAACAUGCUUUCUCACGUGCCACUGUAAUAUGAUGUUUUUGAUACACAAAAUACUAUCUCUUCAAGAGCUUUGACUCCUAUAUACUUGGGACAUUAAAUUGUUUUAGCAACAAUGAGCUUGGGAUAUCUCUGUUUUCGGGAUUUCAGUUGCUAAGGGAAACAAAAAGGACGUCCUCUAAUGAAUCGACGGUAUUUUGCUAUAACAAACCUGGAAGAGAGAUGAGCGUCUUACAUAAUUACAAAAAAAUGAUCACGCAAUAGUUGGUAGAAAUUUACUCUGCUGACGUGCAUGAACAUUCUGAACAAAAAACGGAAAACAUGCAUGAACAUUUCCGGCCAGGAAGCAUUCACGAGGAGCUGAGAGACACUCUAUUUCUUAAAGCAGCAAAAUGAUUACGAGCUUGUUCUUUUGGUGAGUGGAAUGAAUAAAUUGUUCAAAAAAUCCUAAACUUAUUGUCCGACCACUAAUUUAAUUCUAAACGUUUUAAUUUGAUCAAUGUUGUCUAAAACUUUUGACAAUUUUUUGUAGUCCACCUAGUUAAAUUUAGGUCGAAAAUCAGUGAUGAAGCAAUUUAGUAAACACUAGCUGUUUUAAGUGAUACAACCGAUAGCUGAUAUAGAUGAUCUUAAAUGAUGUGGCGUCGUUUCACAAUUUUUUAAUAUUCUUUCUUUUUCUUUUUUAGUAAUUUUUUUUCCUAUUCUUUCGUUCUCUAGUGUUCAUUUUCUUCCCUCUGCCGGUGGCCGAUGCCUCAGCAAUGACCGGCGACCAUCAUAGGCUACAAGUGAGGGCAUUGAGCGAGACUUGCAAGCCUUCUCCUAGAUUUGGGCAAGGGCCCUAUAGGCCCUCAUUGGCCGUAGGCAAGGUUGGGGACUUGCAAGCCCUUGCCUAGAUCUACCCUCUAAUGGGGUCAAUGCCUGCCAUCACCAAAGCCUCAAUGUCUUGCUCUGGAAAGAAAAUGAACAGCAGAGAAGGAGACAAUAGGAAAAGAAAGAAAAAAGAAAAAGAGAGGAAAGGAAAAAGGGAAAAAAUCUGAAAAUAAUAACAAAAAAUUGCAAAAUGACGUUGUUUCAUUUAAGAUCAUCCAUGUCAAUUGCCAAUCAUGCAACGUGGCCUACCUUGUUGGAUGUAGUAGAUUUAGGAUAUUUUGAAUAUUUUUCUCCUAUUAAAUAUGCCCGGUUUAUUUGAUAUCCUAAAAUUUGUCAACUUUGUGAAAUCAAGUUCUAAAAUUUGUUGGCACUCUUUUCAUAUUGGAUGAAGUUAAUGAAAUGACUUGAUUACAACUACUUGGUAAGUUUUAUGACUUGAUUGUAAUUUUUGAAAAUUGUCGGACUCAAUUGCAUCUCUAUAAUAAGUUUUAAAACUUGAUUACGCUAUCUAAAAAUUUUAAGAUUUUCAAUAUACUUAUCCCUAAAAUAAAAUAAAAAGGGCCUACCCCCUUUACAUGAACUCUUUAAUUUAAACGCACCAUGGAAUUUCCUGUCCUUUUACACAAUUUCAUUAACUAAGAUUUUAUUUUAUUUUUUGGGUUAAAACCAAGAUUUAGUUCUUCUUCUUCUUUUUUUUCGGACCAGCCAAGAUUUAGUUCAAAGAUAGAUAUUUUGAGGAGAAAAAAAUUUCAGCAAACUAUGCAAGGAUUUGCAAAAGAUCGCAACAAUAUUACCGGAAGCAUAUAAUUAUUUAUCACUGACGAAUGAUAUAGUAAAAAUUCUUUUAGAAGUUUACCUUAAGUUUAGCAAGAUCUGCUUAUUCGGCAGCCUUGAGUUUCUUCGAUUCCUUCUCUCUUGCCUUCAAACAGAUAUAGAAAUGGCAACGCAGAAUAUCAAGAUAGAUUGCCAUUGACAAAGCUGUAAAAGCCUACUCAAUCGAGCAAAACUGGGACAGUUUUUCCAGCAAUCUUGACCACCUCCGUAGCAUGCCGUGGAAAUAGAUAGGAACACAUGUAGAGGGACAAGCUGAUUAUCACUUGCUUUUAGUCAAGCAUUCGAAACUUUGAGAUUCAUGCACUAUAAGAUAGCUAGACAAGCAAAAAAAAUGAUGGGCAUUUCAGUUGAGGUGUCAAGAGCAAUUAGAUUGAAUUCAAACCAAAUAAAGCUUGACGCAGAAAAGAGAAAUGUUGUGCAUUGAGCGAAUAUAUGACAAAAUAAGUGCAAAGAGAGUCAAUGAUGUUCUAGCGCUUUGGCCAAUUGAGUUCUUAAAAUUUUACUUUGCUUAAUUGAAUCCUCGGCCUUUUCAAUUUCAGUCAAUUGAGUCCCUCAACCUUGAUCCUCGGAAAUAGUCACAUGGCUAUGAUUUUCCAAGUUGAUAAGAAGAUGCUCGAGAAGAAAACCGGGUAGGAGGUGAAAUGGGACCUAAGUGCAAGUUUUACUAUUUCAGUAACUACAAUUGAUCUGACAGAAGGUUGAACUUUCAUGGAUCUGGCACUUCGUUUGAAGCUAUACAAACAGAAAUCAGCGGGCUCAAGAAGCCAAUCUUUUAGACAGUUUCUGAAUUAUCACACAGAAAAGCACUAGGAUAUCUUUACACAUUCACUUAUUAUAUCCUCUAUAAACUAACAGUUAUUAGAGUAUAUUAGGCAUCAUUUAUUUGUAGUACAUUAGGUACAGAUGUCCUCUCUCUGAAAUUCCCUCUUUUCCUCUUCUUACGAUUAGCUUUGCCAGAAGAUGUUUCCAACUUCCGACAUUGAUGAUGUCAUUUCAAGGAGUUCUCAAUGUUUAUCACAAAUCGGUACUUAACAUCUCUCUUGAUGAGCCCCUCAAGGGCUUCAUUGGCAUAAUCGAUCAGUAUCACUUCGAUUUCUUGGUGUAUGUGCUGUGGCGCACAGAGGUCUAUCAUUUCUUGGAUAUACUUCAUUCCUCCAGUAGCGCUACCCAAAACUGUUUUCAUACCUGCAAAAAGUUCAUUGUGAGCAACUUAGUUGGCUUGCCUAUCAGGUAUCAAUAUUUCAUUCGGUAAUGAGCUUUGAGAAUAAAAACAUACCAAGGUUAAGGGAGGAAGUACACUAAUGGUGCCAUAAGUUAUGUACGGCGCUCACUUUGGUGUCAAAAAUUUUUGUCGGAUCACUUAAGUGCCAAAAAUUUUGAAAAACGAUCACUUUGGUGCCAUCGUCGAUUUGGUUGGUCGGAAAUCUGACGUGACAAUUUUUUAUUAAUUUUUUAUGCCGACGUGGAUCGUCGGAUAAUACAAUCAACAAACAAAGAACAAAACGAUGCCGUUUACCAUUUUCCCCCAAAUAAAAACCCCUAAAUCCCUAAUUUCGACUAGAACUGGAAGUUGAAAACCCUAAAUCCCCAAUUCGACCAUUUCGAGUGCAUAUUUCGAUUUUCUGCCAAAGUUAUCAACUUGCUUUUGCAAAUGGAGGACAAAAGUUUCAACAGUGGCUCGCAUUCCUAUAAGAAAAGCGAAUUAGAUGGUGAGUGUUACUGUUAUUGUGGGUUACCGAGUCCGAGAAGAAUAUCUUGGACUUGGUUGAAUCCCGGGAGAAGAUUCCAUGGGUGCGGCAGAUAUAGAGAAAGCUCGAAGUGCCAUUAUUUCAAAUGGGUUGAUAGGAAAUUCUCUAAUCGAGCGACAUAUGUGAUAUUGGAGUUACUUGAAGGCCAAAAUCAACCUCCAUCUAUGUUAAUGGACGAGCUGGGGGAUGUCGACUCAAUACAAGCUCAAAUGAAGGGUUUAACAUCUCUGAUGGACCAUUUGAAGAGAGAGGUUUCAAGGCUGAAAAUUGAAAGAAACUUUAUCGAGCGUUGAUUGUAUUCUUAUUCUCUUGGGUAGUUUAUUCAAAUGUAAAGUGAGUAAUGAGAAGAAAUUUGUAUGUCUACCAUAGUCGAAGACGUGGAAUAUGCACUUGUAUUGGAUUAUUUAUAAGUAAAAUGUGUUUUUUGGUUUGUUGCAAUUUUUAUAUAGAGCAGAAUGUUUUAUUGUUGUAAUCUAUAGGUAGAAAUGUAAGGUUGGACUUGGAAUGCAUUAGUUGUGAGCACUUAAAAAGUUUUGUUGUUUAGUUGUGUAUUGUCAAUGUUUGUUUUUGUUAGUUUUUACUUCAAAUAUAAUGGUUUACUGCAUUUUUUAUUUGGUAAUAGUUUGCUGCAUUGAAAGCAAACGGUAAUGGUUUGCUGCAUUUUUUAUUUGGUAAUGAUUUGCUGCAUUGAAAGCUUUUGAUAAUGGUUUGCUGCAUUUUUUUUAUUUGGUAAUGGUUUGCUGCAUUUUUUAUUUGGUAAUGGUUUGCUAGUUUGCUGGUUUGCUUCAACUGUUAAACCAUGGCUGAAUGGCCGAAAUUAAAGAAUGGUGCCAAAUUCACGAUUGAUCAUUUCAGUGCCAUAAGUUGUAAAUAGUGAUCGCUUAAGUACCAAGUUUUUAUAGAAGUGAUCAUUUAAGUGCUAGUCGCAAUUACAAAGUGAUCACUUAUGUUGCACAAGUUUUUUAAAAAAUAACAUGUUAGUGCCAAACGUCACAUUCCAAAUGCACAGAGUUCUUGCACCAGUUGAGUUGCUGGUGCAUCUUCUUGCACCAACCCAUACAGAUGUCGAUGCAACAAGAUGUACCAGCACCCAAAGUGCUCUUGUAGCAGCACAUAUAAUCAGAACCCCACAAAUUCAUUAUAAUCCACAACUUUAACCAACAACAGCAACAUUGCAGCAACAACAACAUUGCAAUAACAACAAAAAUAAAAUAUAUAGCAUAACUAACUUGCUAGCAUUCUAGCUAAAACCAACACAAGAGAAAAUGAAAAGUCAUUCCAGUACUUGCCAUUAACAUUGCUUGAUUGUUUACAAAAUACAAAAUACAAAAAAAAAAAAAAAAAACAUGUCUAACUUCACUCCCUAAUCAUCAAAAGUUCAGCACUUUCCUAAAAAAAAACAAUGGCAAUAUGCAAGCAGCAACUACCAUUGAUGAUAUAAUAUCCAGCACACUCCUAAAAAAAGAAAACAUGGAAAGAGACCAUGUCUAGCAUCACAUAAAAAGAGACCAUGUCCAACACCCUCCCAUCAGUCAAUAUUGACAACACCCUGAUCUCUUUUUCUUAUUAGAGCUUUGAAUUGAUUCAUAAUCCGAGCACUCUUUCGAACUGGAUGUGCAGGUUCUUAACUGGGCUUUCUGUCACCUCAUUUUCCUUUUCCUUGUUUUUUACGGCAGCUAUUUUUGUUCUAGCACGUAUCAUGUGUUGGUCCAUAUCAUCACUACUGCUCCCAAUCGUUGGUUGAGAUGGAACUAGUGAUGGGUUCUUUUUGGAUGGCUGUUUCGCAGCUAUACCCACUGUCUUCUUCUUCUUCUUCUUUGGAGCACUCUUCUUUGGAUGCGCCCUUAAUUCUUGAGUUGGCCCACCUUGAGAGAGAAGUACCUCUGAAGUUCUCCCAGGCUACAAGAACAUAAUGAUAUUGUCAACCAAAUGAAUUGAAGUACAACAAAUUAAAUGCAUAAGGCCUAUAAAUUUUACAUUCAAAAUAGUCAUUCCAGUACGUUCAUCUGUGUAAAUCCCAUAACCAUAUUGCCUUAAUUUUUUUCCAAGAGCCCCUUUUGUUCGCUGUGAUGCAUCAUUUUCAGCAACAACAAUCUGAUAUUGCUAGUAUGAGUACCUAGAGGGGGGUGAAUAGGUAUAUAAAGAGUUUUUCUCAAGCAAUUGCACAAUACUAGACAGUUGGAUGAAACGAUAAUCAAAGUAAGACUGAGAGAAGAGAAAAUUUAAUACGCGGUUUAUAGUGGUUCGGCUUAUAUCAAGCCUACGUCCACUCUUCUUCACUGACAGCCUAUUGGCUGGAUUCCACUAUGAACAAGAGAGAGGUUACAGCACAGCUUUGCCUUGAUUCCACAGUGUAGAUGUUCUACUACACCUCCUCAAGAUUUCUCACAAAUAUAGACUCUCUCUUUCGUAUACAAGUAUUCGCUCAAAGGAUUUGUCUAAACAAAAAGAAGUUUCAGACUUUGGAAUUCUUCUAUCGCGCACACCUUGAACAACUAAGACAGUCUUCCUUAUAUACUCCUUUAUGCCAUCAUACCCGUUGGCACUUACCAAAGGAAUUCCUCCAAUCUACCCGUUGAACGGAAUCAAUUAGGAAGAUUGUCCAAGCUAUAAAUGGAACGUGUUGAUAGCCCAUCAAUCAUGUUCGCCCAUACAAUCAGGAUCUCGGUUUCCAUAAGCAGAACCUUCCAAUAAUAUUUAGGCAAUCACCGGAUCUUCAAUUAUCGAAUCAAUCUUCGAUCAAUCAAAGGACUCCGUUUAUGUCUUCUCCAGCCAUGAGAUCUUCUCCAGUUGAUAAGGUUAAAUCCUCAACGAAACAUCCAGUUCUGGAUAACCUUUCUUCAACAAAUUAGAGACUGUCAAUGAGGAUAGACUUUGAGUCUUGAGUCUAGCUGUCCUAAGGUCUUUAGACUUUAAAUAGCAGAGUCUGCAAGCCUUCAGACUAGACUGAUAUAAACGAUUUGUCAACUUCAAAACACUUCAAGAAGAUUUCUCCAACAAUCUCCCCCUUUUUGAUGGUGACAAAACUUUCCUGCAGAUUUGGAUAUCUUUGACCUGCAAAACAUUUCUCAAACACAUAUACAUAUCUUAUAGAGGUAAAUGUCUUAACAGAAUAACACUAGAAUCUGCAACCACAGAAAAUAGGUUAGUCCAGUAUAUGAUGAAGCCAUCCAUAAGAUAUCAAUAUUAGUUAAUAGAAGCAGUCAAGUCCAAGUCUAGUUUACUUCUCAUCCAAACACAAACCAAAGUCAAAUAGAUUCAAACCACAAAACAAUCCAACAAAAACAAUUAAAAGUUGAAUGAAAGGUUUUUAAUCAAAUCUUGCAUCUCUCCCCCUUUUUGUCAUCAUUAAAAAGGAUGAGAUGAAGUUAAGAAUGCUUGGGAACGCGGACAAGCUGGAAAUCUUCCAUAGACUGAACAAUGCCUUCCAACCUUUUAAAGUCUUCCUUUAGCUGUGCAAUCUCCUCACUCUUGGCAUUGGCCUGAUUCUGAACAGAGAGGGCUUGCAUUUUAUCAUUCAAUAAACAGGAAGAAGCUUGACCUUCAUUCUUCAAGCUUUGAACUUCGCAUCCCAAGGCAUAAAUCUGACCUCGCAUCUCCAAAAGAAUAUCCAUGAUUCUGCGAAAAUCUGCUCCAUUAUCAGUUUGAGUACUUGCUUCGGCUCGAUCUGAUGGAGUAAAUGCAGAUGAUGGUAGAUCAGCAUAAUCUUGCAGGUUUGGCGAUGAAACUUCAUGACCUUCUUCUGGAAAUUGAGAUGCAUAAACAUCCUCUGGAUCUGCUGGUGAGCGACUGAUUCCUUCACUUGCAUCAGGACAUGAAGACUUCACUCCUUUCUCCUGAUCUCCCCCUGUUUCCAUGCCUACAGGUGGAGAAGAGUGUUCUUCAGGUUCUCCUUCUUCUCUUCUUUCUUCUUCAGGUCUUUCCUCCUCUGUUUCUUUUUCAGCUUCUAUUUCUUCUUCUUCCUUCUCCUCUGCUUCUUUCGUCAUUUGCUCCGAUUCUUUCUGUGGAACAAGACGACUUAAAUUCUUCAAAGCCAAUGCAGAGAUGGUGAUGUCUUCCUCAUCAUCUUCAUCCUCAACAAGGAGAGCUCUUCUUCUCUUGGAUGGAGCAACCAUGGGCUCCUUCCCUUUUCUUUUAGCUGCAGAAGAUAUUUGAUGAGAUUUUGCAGGAGUCUUCUCCUUGAAUUUCUCCAACUCCUUGCUCAGUUCUUUCAGACGCAUUUUGGUCACCAUUUUCAGACCUACCACCAUAUGAUCGCAUGGUCGAACACAAAAGAUUUGUAGAGGCUGAAUAUUCAGAUGUCUGAAUAACUUCGUAACAAGGCUUGGGUAAGGGAGUUGACCUCCGUCCUUCAUCAUUGCUCUAUACAUGUGAAACAUCACAGUGUGAGGGAGAGAAAACCUUUUUCCAAAGAGAAUGGCAUACAUCAACUUGGCCUCUGAACUUGAAACAUCAGUCUUGGAAGUCGAUUUCGGUCGGAUGCAAUUAAUCACAAUCUUGUGAAGCAAGAUGUUGAAUGCACCCAUCCUUAAGUAGGUGAUCUUUUCAUCUGUUCUCCUGUCCUUCACCAGUUCAAGAGUGGCCCGAGCAAUGGAAACUUUGAUUGGCUGAUAUCUUCCUCUUUCGACUUCUAACACAUCUGCCAGCAUAUUCAUAUCCACAACAUAAUCUUGGUUUUUAACGCUGAACGAGAAUCUAUUCGCAUCCAAAAAGCUUAGAUUUGAAUAGAAAUAUGCAGUUAAUUCAGCAUAGGCCUCUGUAGAGUCAGAGCAGAACUUUUCAAGUUGAAGAUAACUGAACUUUUCCCUCAAGUUCAUAUUCACAGCAUCCAGAAAAUCGAAAUCUACACUCCUAGGGUUUAUCACCCCACGCUUCAGCAAUUUCGAGUACAGAUCCUUUUGCUCCUUUGAUCUGAACAAAUCUCCCCUUUUUCCUUGGUUAUCAACCGCAACACCCAUUUUCGGUUGGAAUUGACUGUACAAUUUAUCAUCAUCAUUCCCAUCUACAGGAUUCGGCCCCCAGUCACGAGGAUCACUUGGGAUAUUUGCAAGGGUUUCCUCAGCCACCCCUUUUCGAGCAAUUCCCAAACUUUCCAUUUUUUUCAGAAAGAUAUAUUCGUUCCCAUGUCCUUUGUCUUUAAGAAAAUCAUCAAUGUAGUUCAAAGGAGUACGAAUUCCUUUUAGGGCACGAUAUAACUGGUAAAUAUAAGUGGGCUUUUGAACUCUUACAGGGUCUGCAUCCUCGAUGAUUUCUUCCUGUUGUUGAUGAUCAACGCCUUGAGGACUAGAUGGAGGAGAAUGACACUGUUGAGAAUGUUGUGGGCUCGCUUGCUGAUCUGGAGUCACUUCAUCUUCAGUAAGAUCGAAGUGCGUAGGCCCCUCACUCAUCCGCCGUGGUCCCCUGCUUGCAAUUCUCGAAGACUUUCUUGAAGAUGACAUCUUAGUUUUUGGAAGAUUCCUUGCUUGACUUUCCCAGGAAAGAUGACAACUUUUUAAGGAUUAAACGAAGAAGACAAACGGGAAUGGAGGAUCGAUGCUUUCUAGGGUUUUUGAGAGAAAAGUGAAGAGGAAUCGAUAGUUCACGAUCGGUUAAGAAGAGGGAUAAACGAACCAUCAUAAAGGAAAUAAAAAUAUGCCUUUUCAAAAUAACUGUCUUUUUCCGCAAAAAUAGCCAUUUCAAAAAUAACUUCCCUUUUGAAAAUGAAACGAUGCAAUAUUUACUUCAAUUAAAUAUAGCAACAAUUUAAACACAGUCUGACAAUCGUACCUUUUCAAGAUGAGAUUCAAGAGAGAAAGACUUACAGUCUGACGGACGUACCAAGACUGUCUUUCAGAUAAAGUCUUGUAAGUCUGAGUCUGAAAGUCUUUAGACUUUGAUAUCCUCAUACCUCAAAAUGUUGAGUCUCGAGCGUAUAGACUCAAAUUGAUUUUUCUCCAAAGGCUUUGUGAAUAUAUCCGCCAGUUGAUUCUUUGAGUCAACAAAUUGAAUUGAAACAUCUCCAUUUUGAACAUGGUCUCUUAUAAAAUGAUGUCGAAUCUCUAUAUGCUUUGCUCUUGAGUGGAGAAUUGGAUUUUUGGUGAGGUUGAUAGCGCUGGUGUUGUCGCAAUUAAUUUCCGUGCAUGAGUCUUCAAUUUCAAAGUCUCUUAGCUGUUGUUUUAUCCAUAGAAUUUGCGAAUAGCAGCUUCCCAGAGCUACAUACUCUGCUUCUGUUGUUGAAAGAGACACAGUGCUUUGUUUCCUUGAAAACCAAGACACUGUCCUGCUUCCAAGCAACUGGCAAGUUCCCGAAGUGCUCUUUCUAUCAACUCUGCAAUCGGCCAGAUCUGCAUCUGAAUAUCCCAUAAGAUUAAAGUCUCCCUUCUUAGGAUACCAAAGACCGAUGCUUGAUGAUGAAGCAACGUAUUUAAUGAUGCGUUUCGCAGCACUGAGAUGGGAUUCUCUAGGAUCUGAUUGAAACCUAGCAUAGAUGCAAACACUCAACAAGAUGUCAGGUCUAGAAGCAGUAAGAUAAAGGAGUGAACCAAUGAUGCUUCUGUACAGCUUUUGAUCAACUUUCUUCCCUUCUUCAUCUUUGUCUAUCUUCAAAGAACUUGACAUCGGUAUGUCGGUCUUUUUGCACUUUUCUAAUCCAAAUCUUUUGACAAGAUCAUUAACAUAUUUUUCUUGAUAAAUAAAGGUUCAUUCCUUCAAUUGUUUUACUUGAAGACCAAGAAAGAAUGUUAACUCUCCCAUCAUACUCAUUUCAAAUUCAUCCUGCAUAGACUUAGAAAAUUUCUUGCACAUAUUUUCAUUAGAAGAUCCGAAUAUAAUGUCGUCCACAUAUAUUUGAACAAGUAAGAAACUUUUGUUCUCCUUUUUGAUAAAUAAAGUAGUAUCCACUUUACCUUUGACAAAACCAUUUUGUAUUAAAAACUUACUUAAUCUGUCGUACCAAGCUCGAGGUGCUUGCUUUAAACCAUACAGAGCCUUCUUCAGUCUGAAGACUGAGUCUGGCUUCUUUGGGUCUUCAAACCCUGGUGGUUGUUCCACAUAAACUUCCUCUUGGAUGACUCCAUUUAGGAAGGCGCUUUUGACGUCCAUUUGGAAUAACCUGAAAUUCUUAUAACAAGCAAACGCAAGUAAUAGUCGAAUAGCUUCUAACCUUGCUACUGGAGCAUAAGUCUCAUCAUAGUCUAUUCCUUCUUCUUUCAUAUAUCCCUUGGCCACGAGUCUUGCUUUGUUUCGUAUGACUUUUCCUUUCUCAUUCAUCUUGUUUCUGAACACCCAUUUAGCUCCAAUAACAGUUUUACCUUUUGGUUUGGAUGUCAAUUUCCAGACAUCAUUAAUGCUAAACUGUCUGAGCUCUUCUUGCAUAGCUUCAAUCCAGCUUUCAUUAGAUAAAGCUUCUUCUAUGCUUUUUGGUUCAAUUUUAGAAACGAGAGCCACAACACUAGACUUUUCUCGCCUUUUGGAUCUAGUGCGAAUUCCUUCAUUCAUUUCGCCGAUUAUAAGAUCUUUGGGAUGACUGGACUUAUGCUUCCAGUUACUCGUUGAUCUGUCUGGUUGAUGAUUUCUUUCUUUGUUUGGAUCUUCACGAACAUCUUGAAGCUGGUUUUCCAGAGUCUGAGAUGCUUCUUGAGAUGUAAGCUUUGGAAGAUCUGGAGCAGGUUCAGACUCUUCUUGAUGAGUCUGACUUGAUUCAUCUUGUGUUGAGUCUUGGAAUUUGACAUUCAUUGACUCCUCCAUAAACUGGCUCUUCUUGUUAUAGACUCUGAAGGCUUUGCUUGAUGUAGAAUAUCCAAGGAAGAUACCUUCAUCUGAUCUUUCUUCAAACUUACCAACUUGAUCUUUUGCAUUUUUCAAUAUAAAACAUUUGCAACCGUAUACAUGAAAGUAUGAAACAAUAGGCUUCUUAUCUUUGAACAAUUCGUAAGGGGUUUUCUCUAGAAUAGGUCUUAAGAAGAUUCUAUUGAUGAUAUAACAUGCUGUUGAAACAGCUUCAGCCCAAAAUCGUGAAGAAAUCUUGCUUUCAAAUAAAAGAGUUCUAGCCAUUUCCUGAAGAGAUCUGUUCUUUCUUUCCACAACUCCAUUUUGCUGAGGAGUAUAUGGAGAGGAGAACACAUGAUUAAAGCCAGAUUCAUCACAAAAUUUUGUAAAAUCUUGAUUUUCAAAUUCACUUCCAUGAUAUGUUCUUAUACUUGAGAUAACACAUCCUUUUUUCAUUUUGAACCUUUUUAGCAAACUUUUCAAAAUACGAGAAGGUUUCAGACUUACUUGCAAGGAAAUAUACCCAAGUAAAACGGGAGUAAUCGUCCACAAUUACUAGGCAAUAUUUCUUACCUCCAAUACUCUGUGUUCUGGUUGGUCCGAAGAGAUCCAUAUGCAGCAACUGUAGUACAUGAUUAGUAGAGACAUGAUUUAUUGGCUUGAAUGAAUUUCUUAUCUGCUUUCCCAGAAUACAUGGAGUGCAUGGAUCAGUCUUUUGAUAAGGUAAUUUGGGUAGUCCUUGAACAAGCUGCUUUGAUGAGAUUUUGGCUAAUUGCUUCAUGUUAACAUGACCAAGCUUUCUGUGCCAUAAGCUUGCUUCGUCUUGAAUUGAGAUAAAACAUUGCGAUUCAUUUGGUUUCACAUCCAGAAGAUAAAUGUUUCCAUGUCUACGACCCAUGAAAGACUGAGUAGAGUCUUUACUGAUUCCAGAACAUAUUCCUUCUUGAAAAAAGAUCUUGAAACCAGUAUCACACAAUUGACUAAUGCUGAGAAGAUUGUAAUUGAGUCCUUCCACUAAGGAAACAUUACUUAUUGUGAGAUUUCCAAUUUUCACAGUUCCAAAUCCCACAAUACUCCCUUUGUUGUUUCCUCCAAAUGAAACUUUUCCACCAUUUACUUGAGCAAUCUUUAUAAAACAAUUUGAGUCUCCUGUCAUGUGUCUUGAGCAUCCACUGUCAAGAUACCACUUUACCUUUUUCUUGACGGUGACCUGCAUUUAAAAAAGAGUCUCAAGCUUUCUUUGGUACCCAAACUUUCUUGGGUCCUUUUGUGUUAGUAACAUAAGCAGUAUUAGCCCAUAUUCUCUUAACAGGUUUCCAAACCAUAGGACACUCUUUUUCAAGGUGAUCCGGACUGUUGCAUUUUGAACAUUUUAGAGCAUUUCUUCCUACAGAUUUUACAAAAACUUUCUUGAAGUGAUUUUUGUAAACCUCUCUCGAGAGUCUUUUCUUAAUUCUUUCUUUUACUUUAGGAAAAUCAAUCAGGGGAAUUGUUUCUUCUGUCAUACCUAAACCGGACUUAUUGAAGUAAGGUCUUUGAGCUGAAAGAAUUUUCUCAAGUUUUUCGGACCCUAUUGAAAAUUUCUUUGAGAUAUUUGAUAAGUCUGUUUUUAAAAAAGCAUUUUCUUUUAAAAGAUCAUCUUCAUUUUCUUUAAGAGUGGAAACAGUCAAGUCAAGACUUUUAACUCUUUCUACUAAAACAUUUUCCUUUUGUUUUAGAGCUGAGUUUUCCUUUUUCAGUUCGGAAAUUCUUUUGAGAGAAGUCUUAAGACUAAAACAUAAUUCAUCAAUAUAUUUAGAAACUUUGACAGGAAUUUUAAUAUCACUUGCCUCAAAUUUACUGUCUGAGUUUGAUCCAGAGUCUGAGUCUGAUUGUGCCAUCAGACAUAGAUUGGCAUAUUCAUUAUCACUUUUUUCACACUCUGUGUCACUCCAUGUUUUGGCUUUGAGAGCUUUUCGAAAUCUUUCAGCUUUUCCUUUCUUCUUUUUCAGAAGAGGACAGUUGGGUCUGAUGUGUCCCUUUUUCUUACAUUCAAAGCAGACUAUGUCUUUGUUUGGUUCCUCAUCAUCAACAGACUUGGUCUGCUGUCUUUGAAAGCUUUGUUUCUUUGAAUUGAACCUUCUUCCUUUUCUAUUCAGUUUUCUGAAUCUUCUUAUCAUGAGAGCAAGCUCCUCAUCGUCCAUAUCUUCUUCAGAAUCUGUAUCAUCAGAAUCAUUAUUUGAUUUUAAUGCAAUGGAUUUCUUACCUUUUGGAUCUUCAUCUUCAUUGAUCCAUUCCACUUCAUAAGACUGAAGAGUUCCAAUUAGCUCGUCGACAGAUAGUGGCAUAAUUCUUUGCGUCUCUCUUAUCGAAGUCUUUAUGUGAUUCUAAUCCCUGGAGAGUCCACGCAGUAGCUUGUUUACCUUCAUGGGAUCAGAAGUUGGUUGACCUUGAUUUUCAAGACCAUUCACAAUAUCUGUAAAACGACUAAACAUGUCAGAUAUAGAUUCUCCUGGUUUCAUUCUGAAGGCUUCGUAUUGACCAAGAAGAAUGUUGAUUAUAGUUUCCUUCACUCGAUCUGUUCCUUCAUAAGUGAUAUGCAAUCUAUCCCAAACUUCUUUUGUUGUACCACAAGAAGAUAUUCUAUUAUAUUCAGUUGGUGAUAAAGCACAAUAUAAGGAGUAAAUUGCUUUUGCAUCGAGUGCUUGUCUUUUGUUUAUUUCUUCCUGAGACAUUCCGCUGGUUUCAUCAGUUUCUUUUCCUCUUUCAGAUACUGAUGCAGUGGUAGGAGUAAUUCCUUUUUCUACAACGUCCCAUUCCAGAGGAUCCUUUGAUCGAAGGAAAGCUUUCAUCUUGUUCUUCCAGAUGUUGUAAUCCUUUCCAUCAAAGUAGGGUGGUCUGGUAUUGCUUUGCCCUUCCAUCAACCCUGGUGCUAGCAUACUAGCCAUGGAUCUUUUACUACGAAGUAAAACACUUCAAAUAAAGUAAGUACACAGGCUCUGAUACCAAUUGAUAUUGCUAGUAUGAGUACCUAGAGGGGGGUGAAUAGGUAUAUAAAGAGUUUUUCUCAAGCAAUUGCACAAUACUAGACAGUUGGAUGAAACGAUAAUCAAAGUAAGACUGAGAGAAGAGAAAAUUUAACACGCGGUUUAUAGUGGUUCGGCUUAUAUCAAGCCUACGUCCACUCUUCUUCACUGACAGCCUAUUGGCUAGAUUCCACUAUGAACAAGAGAGAGGUUACAGCACAGCUUUGCCUUGAUUCCACAGUGUAGAUGUUCUACUACACCUCCUCAAGAUUUCUCACAAAUAUAGACUCUCUCUUUCGUAUACAAGUAUUCGCUCAAAGGAUUUGUCUAAACAAAAAGAAGCUUCAGACUUUGGAAUUAUUCUAUCGCGCACACCUUGAACAACUAAGACAGUCUUCCUUAUAUACUCCUUUAUGCCAUUAUACCCGUUGGCACUUACCAAAGGAAUUCCUCAAAUCUACCCGUUGGACGGAAUCAAUUAGGAAGAUUGUCCAAGCUAUAAAUGGAACGUGUUGAUAGCCCAUCAAUCAUGUUCGCCCAUACAAUCAGGAUCUCGGUUUCCAUAAGCAGAACCUUCCAAUAAUAUUUAGGCAAUCACCGGAUCUUCAAUUAUCGAAUCAAUCUUCGAUCAAUCAAAGGACUCCGUUUAUGUCUUCUCCAGCCAUGAGAUCUUCUCCAGUUGAUAAGGUUAAAUCCUCAACGAAACAUCCAGUUCUGGAUAACCUUUCUUCAACGGAUUAGAGACUGUCAAUGAGGAUAGACUUUGAGUCUUGAGUCUGGCUGUCCCAAGGUCUUCAGACUUUAAAUAGCAGAGUCUGCAAGCCUUCAGACUAGACUGAUAGAAACGAUUUGUCAACUUCAAAACACUUCAAGAAGAUUUCUCCAACACAAUCCUUGUAGCAACCUCUGCAACUUGUGCAGUUGCUCGUCUUCUCACCUAAGAAACACAUAACAAAUGUAAAUUUUAGCCCAUAAAAAGGCCAAACACAGUGAUGUACAACUUACAGGAUAUUUUUUUCUUGUUUGCUCAACGGUGGACUCAGUUGUUAUUGUUGCUGUCUUACCAAUUCUAGUCCUUAUCCCUGCACUUGAGCCUACAACAUGGCCUUUUUCUGGCCCUUUAGUAGGCCUUACAACAAUGUGCUGUAUUAGGAUUAUGACCAACUACAACGAAUAAUUACACAUCUCAUUUUCAUAGUGGAAACACAUGGAGAAAACUUCUCAAAUUACAAGUGCAUGACAGAGGAAAAGCACAAGAGAAGCUAGUACACAUGGUCAACCAUCAAACUCUAUCGAAUAAGAACUGUAAAGUUACUGAGAUAAAGAGGAUACUUACCUUACAGUAUGGCUUUCUGUUGCCCUUUAGUAGACAUUACAGCAGGGCCUUCUGUUCUCCCUUCAAUAAGCCCAACAAGAAACUCUUUGUAAGUCAUGUCCCUGGCAUUGAAUCAACCAUUACAUCUUGCUAUUGAUACUGCUUUUUCAGCUCACAACCUUUCUUAUCGUGCCCUUCCUUGCGGCAAUAGGAGCAUUUCAUAUUUGAUCUAGUCCUACUCAUCCUUUGACUUGAUGCCUCUUCCUAUUGCAUUCUUCGUCUCUUUUUUGGCCUUCAUAUUUGCUUCUUCAGCGGUAAAGGUAGAGGGCUUUAAUGAUUUGUUGGCUCCCAAAAUUUGCUGCUUCUGAUAGGCUACAUCAUGAAUUGGUAUGAAGCAAGGUAUGAGCUUUUUUUGUACCAAUCAUCUAGGUAAUCAUCUAGGUUUUCUUGCUUCAUCUGAAUAGCACAAAUGGCAUGAGCACAGGGAAUUCCAUUCAGUUGCCAAGCUCGGCAUGAACACUUUCUUCUAUCCAAGUUGACAACAUACUUAUCAUGAUUUGGAAUAAUCUCAUACCCAUUAUCUUCAUUCCAAACUGGAUGGCAGAACCUACUAACAGCAAUAUUUGCAUCUAAUCUCUUCACAAUCCUAGGGCCACAGUCUCUACUCCAUUUUGUAGCAUCAUCUCUUUGCCUAUGCAGUCUAGUCAUAACCAUAACUCGAAUAUCAUCAAGCAUGCUGAUGAUUGGUUUGCACCUAGCCUCUAAAAUUCUACCAUUGAAAGCUUCAUUGAGGUUGUUAUCAAUGUUAUCGCAUUUGAACUCUUCGCUGAAGAAGACCCGACACCAGUGCUUAGCUUCUGUCUGGAAGAGUGUAUCAAAACCUUCAUUUGUCAGCUGUAACAAUCCUUGUUUCGCUAAUUUGAAAUCAACCAUAUUCGUACUCUUUGCUAUCUGCCAGAACUGCUUCUACAACAUAUCUCCUUUGAAGUUCCUUGACCAGUUUGCAUAUAUGUGCCUCGUGCACAUUCUAUGCUCAGCAUGUGGCAUCAACUCAGCCAAUGCAGGAAUAAGUCCAUACAAAAAUUCAAACCAAUAAAUACAAGUCAAGAAAAAUAUGCAAGUGAUUAAUAUAUAAAUGAGUGAUUAUUGACAUGAAAUUACCUUCUAUUGGUUGCUCAUGAAUGCCCAUCCUCCCCCAUCGGUUAUCACAAGGUCAGUCAUCAAAUUUUUUAGGAACCAUGACCAAAUAUCCUUGUUCUCUAUCUUUACCACCGCCCAAGUUAUCGGGAACAUUUAAUUAUUGGCAUCUCUCCCCACAGCAACCAACAACUCCCCCUUGCAUAAACCCUUUAGAAAGCAUCCAUCCAAUCCUAUAACUCUUCUACAACCAACCAAGAAGCCCCGUUUGCAUGCAUCAAAACAGACAUAAAAUCUAUCAAAUUUAGGCCAAAGAUCAGGGAGUGGCCUCUUCACAACCUCUACAUAUACCCUACUGGAUGGGUUUUGAAACAUGUAUUCACCAGCAUAAUUCCAUACCUGUGCAUAUUCUUCUUUAUACCCACCCAUCAAUAUUUUCAUCACCCUUAUCUUAGCUCUCUUACAUUGAUUCCUCGACACAUUAACCUCCACUUGCUCCUUCACUAAUUGUUGAAAUUGAGAACUCUUGAUCUCGGGCAUUGCUUUGAUAGUAUUAAAAAAAUUCUUUGAUAACCACACACUUGUUACCCUUUUAUUAUUAAAGAUAAUUGGACAAGUAUGCUCCUCCUGAAAGGACCUAAGCUAGAAUGACCUAUUCUUACUAAGCGCAGCAUAGAGCUUCCAUGAACAAUUAGGUUGUGAGCACUUAGCUCUCACAAAUUCCUUCGUGUUUCUAAUAAAUUUAACGCUCCUCUGUUCACCAAUUGAGUUCUUCACAACAGCUUCCUUGAACUGUUUGGCAUUGUCAAAUCUCAUGCCCACCGACAAAACAGGUUUAUCAACAGUUGAAUCAUAGAAAGGAUACUUACUUUUUCUUCGAGGAGCAGGUUCUUCAUCAUCAUUGUCAAGCUCAUUUUCCGAACUAGUAACUUCAUCGCCACAGCUUUCUUCAUCUUCACUUCUAUUACCCUCAGCUUGAUCUCCAUCCCUAUUUACUGGCUCGGACCUUUUUGCUAAAGCUACAAGUUUUUUUUUCUCAGAAAUUCCCUUUGCUUUUGUCUUGACUGUACGAGUUCAUCAUCAUCUUCGUCACUUGGAAAAUUUACUAAAGCCAAACAUUCAUCUUCCGAUUCAUUAGAUAAAGCAAUUUCCCAUUCUAAUCCAAUGAAGUCUUCAUCGCCCACAUCUUCACCCAAAUCUUCACCCAAAAUUUCAGGACAUCUCCCUCUUUGUUCAUCUCUAUCAAUAUGACUUAUCUCCCUCUCAUUUUGCCCUUCAUCUAACCUAAACUUAUCCCCGACUUGAUUACUCGUUUGAACAAGAUCCCUCACUUCUCCUCCUUCAGUGGUCGUCUGCUCAUCCACAUCCUCAUCCUCAUCCUCACUAUAAUACUCAACAUAUACCUUAACUUCUUCAUUGUGAAGAUAAUGGUAAAUGAUAUCCUUAAUACCAUUAUCGUUGUUAAAAAAUCUUAACCCAUCCUUCAAUUCCUUCCCAGGAACACAGUAAUGUAGUUUUUGCACUUUGCAUCGUAAAAAAUACACCAAAUCUCUCAGAAAAUCAAUAUAUGAUGGCUUCCAAACAUUGACAUAAAUAGUACCUUAAUUUCCACUAUUUUAUUAUCAAUCUUCAGUGCCAAUAACAAACUCUCCACCAUAGUAAACAAUGACGCUUACCUGAUUCGUGUCCAUGUCGAUGCUGCACCCAAUGAAAAAAAAAAGAGUCAUUGUCGUUUUGUUGGAACCACAUGACAGAAUCGACAACUUCACAUGUAGGUCCUUAUCGUUUUGUUGUCAAGGAACAAAUGCGACUAAAAUCUCCCCAAUUCGGUGGAUUUACAGAAAUAAAAGAAACCGAAUUAAAUAAACAAAGUGAGGUCCCCACCACUCAUUUUUCAAUUCAAUCACAUUCACAUUCGGUCCCCCACAAAAGCAGUCCAAUUAAUUAAAUAAAAAAAUUCGGUCCACCACUGUUUCCCUCCGAGUCAAGCCUCUCCGCACCAUUUUUUCUGUUCGGUCCUCACAAUAGAAAACGAACAAACGAUGGAAGAAUCAAUUUUUCUAUUCCGUCCCCAUAAAAGUGACAUCCCCACCACUUUCCCCACUACUUUCCGCUUGAGCCAAGCCCUCAAUUUGCCCUCCGUGCCCUAAUUUGCCCGUCGGAACCCUAAUUUUUUCGCAAAAUUGAUCCACGUAGAGAACAUGACAAACUUGAACGAUCGUGAACAAUGGCGCAACUACAACGGUGGCCAAGCGAUAGUGGGCGAGCGACAGCAGGCGAGCGAACGACGGUGGGUGAACGACAGUGGGUGAGCGAGCUCCGGCCAGCGUCGAGGAGAAUAAUAUACGAACCCUAUUUUACUCCCUCUUCAGCAACAUCGUUUUUUGCUAUGGAGCAACGCGGCGUCGUUUCUUAUGUGAAUCCACGGUGGAUGGCAAGAAACAACGUUGUUUCUUACAAAGAAAGGAAAACGGCGUCGUUUUAUGCUAUCCACCGUGGACAAUCUUAAGCCACAUCGUUUUUUUUUUAAAUAUAAAAGCCACGUAUUUAUUUUGGCCGAAAUUUCUCGCCAGUGGCACCAAAGUGAUCGUUUUUUCUCCGAUUUGGCACUUAAGUGAUUUGACGGAAACUUUUGACACCAAAGUGAGCGCCGUACACAACUUAUGGCACCAUUAGUGUACUUUUCCCCAAGGUUAAGGCUUGCCACACUGAAUGUAACUUCGCUUUGGGACCCAACCAACGCUAGAACGCCACCCGUCUUCAAAAGAGACAUGUAAGGAUCAAAUAGGUGAUCAGCAGAUGCCGUGUCGAUUAUAAAGUCCAGGGACUUAGCCAUGGCCUGCAUGUAUUGGAAUCAUCAGAUCACGGUAGCACUUGACCUUAAUGGAUCUAAAGUAUUGAUAAUUUUAAAUCUUCCCGCCUGCCUUCGUCUAUUCUUGGUCAGAUGAGAUAACGAAGUGGUCAGCACCAAGCAAGCUCAGUGCUUCCUCCUUUUUAGAAAUGCUUGUACUAAACAUAGCGAAUUUCAGUCCAUAAGCCUUCCCAAGCUUAAUUGCCAUGUGACUGAGCCCACCGAGUCCAAUUACACCAAGAGACUUACCCGGUUGGUUCAUCUUGUGACGCACCAUUUGAGUGUAUAUUGUGAUUCCAGCACAAGGCAAUGGUGCUGCUAAAGCCAACGGGAAGUUUUCUGGAAUCCUGAAGCAGUACCUGUUAAUGAAGCACCACAAUUAAGUUUCCAAAUCACACCAAAGGAGGAAGGGAUUUCCCAAUAGAAUCAGCAUCCCAUCUUUUUUGUACAACGGGAUUCAAAUCACAUUUUACUUGCUUAGAGCACAAUUCAACAUCAUGUGGUUUCUGUGAUUCUUUUUCUGACCACAAAUUGCUUAAGACGAAAACUUCUUGCUGUAGCGACGAAAGUAAAGCCACUGCAGCAUACAGGAGGCCAUACUUGAUCAAAAUUGAGAAAAGAGGCUUGCUCUAACAGAGUACACUGGAAGCAUAUUGCAUAUGCAUGGCAGAUCAUGUAAUUUCUCUAUUCCCCUCAAUCAUGUCUCUAAGGGACACGAUAUUCCCGUGACUGUCGAAUACAAGAAUCCGUGAAAGCACGUACAUUUUAUUACCCAUUUGAUCUAACACUUACCAUCUAACUCUUGGAAACAAUCUAAAAAAAGGGAGGAAGAGGAGAUAGAAGGCAAGAAUUGAGCAAUUUCCAUCUGUUUCUCUCUUUUAAUUAAGAGUUAAUAUCCUAAAAAACUCCAAAUUGGUACACAUGUGACAAAUUUACCCCGAUGGACUAUUAAAAACCCUAAAAUUAUAUAUUUAUGACAAAUUUACCCCAAACUAAUUUAUUCGACCACAAAAAAAAUGGUAAAUUUGUGACAAAUAUAUCCUCCACUAAAUUGAAUUAAUACCAUAGUAAACCGUGACAAACGGAGCGUAAAAUCUCAAAUUGAUAUACUAGUCAACUGUCACAUGUCAUUUAACUUAAUAAUUUGACAGUAAAAUUUAAUGAAAACUAAUAGAAGGUAAAUUUGUCACAAGUGUACCAGUUUAGAGUAAAUUUGUCAAAUAUAUAACAAUUUAGAGUUUUUUGUGGUAAAAAAAAAUAGUUUGGAGUAAAUUUGUCACAGGUAUAUCAGUUUGGGGUUUUUUAGGGUAUUAACCCUAUAAUUAAUUUAGUUUUAAAUUUAAUCUUAUUAAUUUUUCAUGAAAAAUUCAUAUGUUAAAUUUAUUGGCUCACAUGUCAUUGUCACUUGAUGUGUAUGAUAUAUAGAAUAGUCCAAGAAAUUUGACUUUAGAUACAUGGGAACCCGCGAAUGGUCAUACAUUGUCGAUUACACAUUCAACAUGAUGUAUUAGCUAAUCAUAGUCCUCUAACGGUUUAUAUUUGCUUAAUAUAUUUCAAGAAUAUUAAUUUGUUAGACUUGUCCGCUCACACGCCGCUGUCACUCGAUGUGUAUGAUAAGCAGAAUAGUCGAAGAGCUUUGACUUUAGAUACUUGGGAGUGUCUAUGCUUGUUUUAUGUCUAUUAUGCUUGCAAUGCUUCUUGUUUUGAGUGGACAGUACAAAUAUUUAAGUCCGUGUCAAUUUGAACAAUUUUCUUUAUUAUAGAGCAACAGUCUUUAAUCUAUUGUGUUCUUGACCACAAAAAACCAAAUAACAAAUAAGUAUAAAUUAUUGUAGGGUCCAACGACAAUCUUUAAUCUAUUGUGUUCUUGACCACAAAAAAUCAAAUAAUAAAUAAGUAUACAUUAUUAUAGGACCCACUCCUUUAAAAAUUUGUUGUUCACAAAAACUUAUUUAUUCUCAUAAUAACCCAAAGUUAUGCUAGCAAAAAUGCAAUUUAAUCCUAAAAUUUGUCACGAAAUGCAAUUGAGUCCUAAAAUUUUCAAAAAGUACAAUUAAUUAUAAAGAUUUAUCAAAAUUGGUCCAAUUUAAGUCAUUCCAUUCAUUGCAAUUUUUGAAAGUUUUAGAGCUCAAUUAUGCUUUCCUAACAAGUUUUAUGACUUAAUUAUAAUUUUUGAAAAUUUUAGAACUUAAUUGUAAUUUAUGAUAAGUUUUAGGAUUUCUAGUACACUUAUCUUUUUUUUUUGUUUUUCACCUCAUUAAUCUUUUUUGCAACAAUGAGCUUGACAUAUCUCUGUUUUGAGGAUUUCAGUGGCUAGGGGAAACACAGGGAUGUCCUCUAAUGAAUCAACAAUCUUCCUGCCAUGACAAUGCCGGAAGAGAGAUGAGUGUCUUACAUAGUUAACAAAAAUGUUCAUGUUAUAAUUGGUAAGCAUUCGCUUUCCCAACGUGCAUGAACAUUUCCGGCGAUGAAACAUUCGUGAGGAGCCAGUAAAGACAUCCUGUUAUUUAAACCGGCAAGAGGAUAUCGAGCUUGCUCUAUUGGCAAGUAUAUUGUUGUCAGAUAAGCCUAAUAAAUCCGAUAUUUUCAUACAAAAAAUCGUCAUCGAGGCCAACUUAAUCCAAAAUGCCAAUGGACAGGCUUGGGUAAGCUAGUGGAUAGGUAUGCCGCUUUAUCUUAUGUCGUGUUAUCUCACGAGAGAUGGUGCUGCGUUCUCUUUAGAAUGCACAUGACUUGGGAUAGGAAAACCUUAGGAUCCGACUAGGAGGAAGGAAAAAAGCAAUCUAUUGUCGGGCCAAUAUAAGAUCAUUUCAUGUCAAACUCCGCAGUCUUGAGGCCAUGGAAUCUACGACAUACUUGCUCAUUCACAAGGACUGAGCAAAUAAAUGAUAAAAUAAGAGCAAUGGUCGUCAUUGAUCGUCUGCCCUUUAACUGAUUGGAUUCUAAAUAUUUUAUUUUCAAUUGGGGUCUAAAUAUUUUAUUUGAUUCAAUUGACUUCUAAAGAUUUCCAAUUUUAGUCAAUCAAGUCCCUCAAAUAUUAUCCUCGGAAAGAGCCACAUGGCUGUGAUUUUCCUAGUGGCUAAGGAGAUGCUUGAGGAGAAAACCUGUAGGAGAGGCGAAGCCAUCCAAGCAGAACUCUCAAGAAGUCAAUUUUUCAGACAGUUUCUCAAUCAUCACAUAGAGAAGUACCAGGAUUUCAUUACCCAUUUCACUUGUUUCUGCUAUAAAACUCACGAGUAUCGAAGUAUAUCAGGCAUAGUUUAUUUGUACUCCAGCAGAGCAAUUAAGAAGGCAUAGAUGAUGCUCUCCUCUAGCUGAAAGCCCGAAACUCCCACUUUUCCUCUGUGUGAUCAGCCUUGCCAGCAACAAUUUCCAACUACCCAAAUUGAUGUUGAAAUUUAAUCAAAUAGACUCAGAGAAGAAAACAAACAAGAGAAUUGUUGCUGUAACUUUCGUUACUUUAUUCAUCAGAACAUAAGCCUAUUAAAUAGGCAGAACAUCCAAACCACUUAGCAAGACAAUAGCUAUAGAACAACAACAAAGACCCACUAACAUACCCCACUAACCAGAACAUAUGCAGAAACUAACUCCUAAAAACAAGCCACAUCCUAUUGACUAGGACUCCACUAUUACAUUAUUGAAGACACGUAAAAACUGAAAGUUAACUACUUCAACAAUUGAUGGUGUCACUUCAAGGAGUUCUCAAUGUCAAUCACGAAUCGAUACUUAACAUCUCUCUUGAUGAGCCUCUCCAGAGCUUCGUUGGCGUAAUCGAUCGGUAUCACUUCAAUGUUUGGGUAUAUCUUCUGCACCGCACACAAGUCUAUCAUUUCUUGGGUAUUCUUUGUUCCUCCCGUUACGCUACCCGUAACAGUUCUCAUAUCUGCCAAAAGUUCACCGCGAGCAACUUAAUUCACCUAUCAGGUAUGAAAUUUCAUUUAGUAAUCAGAUUUGAGAACAAAAACAUACUGAGGUUAAGGCUGGCUGGACUGAAUUUAACUUCGCUCGGGACGCCGACCAAUGCUAGAAUGCCACCCGUCUUCAAAAGAGACAUGUAAGGAUCAAAUGGGUGAUCACCGGCUGCCGUGUCGAUUAUAAAGUCCAGGGACUUAGCAAUGGCCUGCGUGCAUUGGAUUUAUCAGAUCACAACAGAAUUUGACCACCAUGGAUCUCAAUGUGGAUAAUUCUAGUUUUUCCUCUUUUUACCUUCAUCUGCUCCAGGUCAGAUGAGAUAAUGAAAUGGUCAGCCCCAAGCAGGCUCAGUGCUUCCUCCUUUUUAGAAAUGCUUGUACUUAACACUGUGACUUUCAGUCCAAAAGCCUUCCCAAACUUAACUGCCAUAUGACCGAGCCCACCAAGUCCAAUUACACCUAGAGACUUACCAGGUUGGUUCAUCUUGUGACGUAUCAUUGGAGUGUACACCGUGAUUCCAGCACAGAGCAAUGGCGCUGCUAGAUCCAUCGGGUAGUUUUCUGGAAUCCUGAAGCAAUACCUGUCAAUGAAGCACCACAAUUAAGUUUCCAAAUAACACCAAGACAGGAAGUGAUUUCCCAAUAGAAUCAGCAUCCUGUCUUUGUUGUCUAAAAGGAAUCAAAUCACAGAGCCAGAAAUCCUAUCUUCCACAUGCUUGGGAAUUUUACUUGCUUAGACCACAAUUCAGCAUCAUGUUGUUUCUGUGAUCCUUGUUCUGACCACAAAUUGCUCUAGACAAACAUUUCUUGCUGUAGCAACGUAAAUAAAGCAAUUGCAGCAUACUGGAGACCACACUCGAUUAAAAUUAAGAAAAGACACUUGCUCUAAGAAAGGAAACUAGUGGCAUAUCAUGUAUGCUUGACUGAACACGUAAUUUUGUAUUUCCUUCAAUCAAUUUCUCCAAAGGACUCAAGAUUCCUGCGGCUCUAUCAGAAACAAGAAUUAGUGAAAGCGCAUACAUUUAGCUACUCAUUUGAUCUGAUACUUAUGAUCUAACUCUAACAAUCUAAGGACAGCUUAUUCCAUUCUUGACAAUGGUUAUUCAAAAGAAAGAAUUUCUUUUCGCAUUUAAUAAAGCCAGUUCUCCAUUGAAUGGUUUGAAUGGUAAUUGGAUACAGAGGACUUAAAGACUCUCCAGAGUCGUUAUAGAAAGUAUCUUUAUCCCUUUCCACAAGAUGCAAUUAAUGCCUAAAAGCCAUUCCUCACAGUCCUAUGCAUUAUGCCACUUCUGGUCACAAUCAGAAUAAGAAGAAAAUUAGCAGAGAAGAAGACAUGACAUGAAAUCUUUUUUUGGCCACCAUGAUUUGGAAUUCUGUCACAGUGCAAAAUGCUGCCUAAUAACACUGUGUCAGUAAGCAAUUACCUUUCAUGGACGACAAUGUGACUAGAAUAUCCUCCCUUUGUCACUGUACCAUCUGCAUCAAUUCCAUCAAAAGUCAUAACCGACUUUUCACAUUGGACUUCUAGCCUGUCAUUGCAAUACUCGCACUCUCUGCAUGAAUUGACAUAAGUUCCCACCCCCACAUGAUCGCCAACUUUGAAGCGUUGGACACUGGAGCCAACCUGUUUCACAAUUCCAACUAUCUCGUGCC